AAACUCCUAAUUACCCUCACUUAUUUGAUAUUUCUUCUCUUUUCAUUUUUGUUUUCUUUCCUUUACUAUAUAAGACACACUAAAUUCAGGUUCCCAAUAAUAAAAACUGAAGAGUAUAUUCAUUCAUGAAGGUUAAGUUGAAGUCUCCCUCCAUAAGAUUUAUUUAAAGAAUAUACUUAUUGCAUAUACUUAUGAAGUGUGGUUCUAUUGGUAGAUAACAAAAUUAAAAUUGCAUUAAUUUGAAGUUUUAAUAAAGAAAAGUUGGAAAAUCUUACUGGUUAGGUAAUUGGAUUUUUAGUUAUCUAGACAAGCUAACUAUUGAUAACACGAUCAACAAUUGUACUUACUAGUGAAAUGGACCUAACCUGCCCUCAUUUUAUUUUGAAAUGAAUAUUGGCAAAAGUAUCUCCGAACUUAAUGAUUUGGAUAGAAGUAUGGUACUUGAUAGAACAUUAUGGCGGAAGUUGAUCCAUGUAGCCGACCCCACCUAGUGGGAUAAGGCGUUGUUGUUGUUGUUGUUGUAUUUGCAAAAGUAUCUCUGGAAUGGUAGCCUAAUUGUGUUAUGAAAAUCAUUGUUAAGUUUCUUAUUUGUUUAUUGUUUAUUAAGAAGAUCUAUAAGGAUAUUCAUGCCUUACUAUCUCGGGAUGUUAUCAGAAACUAAGCAUAUUGCCUAGGUCAGGAGGGGCUUUGGGAUUUACUUACACUCCUCCAACAAAUGAGGACAGAUACUUGCUUUUCAUUGAUGAGUUGCGUGGCCGCCUGGUUACCCUACUUGGGGGACGUGCUGCAGAAGAAAUUGUUUAUUCUGGUCGAGUGUCAACAGGUGCACUUGAUGACAUACGGCGAGCAACUGAUAUGGCAUACAAAGCUAUAGCUGAAUAUGGUCUUAAUCAGACAAUAGGCCCUGUGUCAAUUUCCACCCUUUCUAAUGGUGGAAUGGACGAGUCUGGGGGAUCAGCUCCUUGGGGAAGGGAUCAGGUCCUCUAUUUCAUUAUCUUAUUUCUUCUUCAUAAUAUUUUACUGUAUGCUGAUUUUAAUCUGAACACAACAGGGACAUCUUGUUGAUCUAGUUCAAAGAGAGGUGAAAGCAUUGCUGCAGUCUGCGCUGGAAGUAUCACUUUCUAUUGUGCGGGCUAAUCCUACUGUUUUGGAGGGUCUUGGUGCUCAUUUAGAAGGUAACUGUACGUGCUGUAUUUUAUAUUUGGUGAUUGGUGGAAUGUUUGUGUUGAUUGCCAAAAAACUAAUAGUGAAUACUUACAAUUUUUUUAACUUAAUUAAAUGGUUAGUAUCUAUGUUUAGGGAUAAGGCUUAACUAUAAAAUAGAAGGUCUUAUAUGUAGAAUAUCAUGCUUGUAUACCGUUGCCUCCAAUUGAAAUUGCAUGGGUGAAUUAGAUUUCAGAUUUUGGUUUUGAAAUUUUAUACAACGCUGAAUGUUGCACUUAAAUAUAAUAUAAUGAUCAUGUGAAGGGAUAGGUGAAAUGGGGAUGUCAGCAUCUUGUGCUUCUACCAAAUUAUGUAUAGACUAUAGAAUAUAGAUACAAAUGACUUUGAACUAUUGUGUUUUUGGUAAGCUAUGGUGUUCUAAUAGUGCCUAUUCUUCAGAAAAAGAGAAAGUAGAGGGUGAAGAGCUACAGAAGUGGUUAAGAUUGGUAGUUGCACCGACAGAGCUGGAAAUCUUCAUAGACGGCAAGCAAGGGUCUCUCCUCCCAUUGCAGACAGGUUCCUGAACAUUUGAGAGUUGUCUAUUUAUGCUACCAAUGUCGAGUGAAACUUAAGGUAUGAUUUUUGACGUUGGCGGGCUAAAGCCAGUGCAGAUAUAUCUCAAACAAAUGAGUUCACCCUUACAACCUUUGUAUAUUCCUGUAAGGUGAAUUUUGGCAUCAUUUUUAACACGUAGCCAGCCUGUUAUUUAACUCAUAAUUCACUCAUCCAAAGCCACAGGGGAGAUAAAAAGAUAAAGAAAAAUACACAGUAGUGCUUCUCACCAUCUACAUAUAUACUGGUAGUUGAAUUUGUUGUAUAUUGACUAUUAUUUCAGUCAUGAUGUGGCUGUUUGCAAAUGUAAUUUGGUAUAUAGUUGUUGUAUACAUUAACGAUUCUGUGAAAUGUAAACGGCUCUGCUAUAUGUUACACCAAAAUAUCUUUUCCAAAUUGUAAGUAAGCUGAUUAGUAUUGAAGUCCGUUUACAGAUUCUCCGCAUCAAACAAAGCAGGGUCAUUCAACAACUGUAUUGGGGCUACGUUUAGAUUUGCAGUCAGAGUAAAAAAUAUUUUUGGAAUGGAAGCUACUAUGUUAGGACAGAUUAAACUUAAGAAUUGACCCCGUAUUCUUGUUGACUAUGCACCAUCAUCAUCUUUGUCUUCUUUCAGAACUCAAGUAAACAGCUACAAGGUGUAGAGUGUUUUUAGUCAUUUGUCCAGGUGUGAAUGAUUGAAAGGAAUUUUUGUAUUCAUAUAACAGGGAUCUUGUGAUAUUCUGAGAGAACAAAAAUAUCUAGUGUUCCUUGAAUGCAACGUUUUUGUACAUUUUUACUAGAGAAAGAGCUAACCUGCAUUGUGCCUCUGGUGGACCAUUGUCCCAUGUGGCUGAGUUUCUUUGGAAAGAUACGAUGUCAUAUUCAUAUCAUUGUAUUGUAUAUUACUAUCUCAUAAUAAUAUCGUUGUAUUGCUCAGAAGCUUUGACAACUAAACAUCAAGUGGAUAAUUAGUGGUGUAGAGCUGCCUUUAUAACUAGGAGGGGCAAAAUAAGUGUGUAUUUUUAUUGGUGAAUCAACCUGUCCCACCUAAUAUAAGGAGGAUUAAAAGCGAGUCAAAGUGAAUUAUAAUGGAUUGGUUUGGGUUAGGACAAAUUAACCCACUUUGUCACUUUUAUUUAAAACUUGUUCUUUGAUUCUUCUUUAUUUUAUUAUGAGAAUAUAAAAAUCAAAAGAAAAAUAUUGCAUUACCAAAAACAUACAUCUUCCAAGGUAUGAAUAAAUCAUUAAUUUUAUUCUUCAACUAUAACCUUCUUGAAUGGUUAAGUAUAAAAAAUUGCUUAAGUAAUCUUUAGAAGUAUUAGAAAUUAUGCUUAGUAGUCUUUUAAAUAUUAAAAACUUUUCAAAUUGGUCUUUAGACUUUAGUAAACCACAUUUCGAUAUUGUAAACAUUAUUUAAUAUAAUUUUAUUAGUUUAGAAACUGUUUAAGAGAUAAGAUAAUAUUUUGAUGACGAAAUUGAUGAUUUAUUCUUGAAGUUCUUACAGUAAACUCUUGUUUUGUUUGUUGGCUUGUACAAAGUCUUAGAAGGGGUGAGUGUAUCUUAGGAGUUAAGACUUAUGAAGAGGUAGUGUUUAGCCUAGUUUUUUUUCUUCCUUAUAAAUAAAAACAAGGGCAAAUACUAUAUAAAAGCUCUUAAAAAUAUAAAGAACCUAUUUUUAAGAAGAAAUCUAAAAAAAUGAGUUUUAAAAAAAGCUUAUUGGCGGAGCCUAUCCUAAGUGUCAUGACUCAUAAGCUUUCACGGAGCUUUUUUGUCAUGCUCCACUUCAAAUUUCAUUCGUUGCUAUUUUCAUUUUUUUUUGUUGCAUUUACGGUUCUAUUUUAUUUUUCACUAAUUUCAAAAAAUACUCAAAUUUUUCUGUACGUGGCAUCAAAAUUCAUGGAGCACUAUAAUUAUAGAAUUUCAAAAAAAUUUGAAAUGAAAUUAUAAGUAAUUCUCAUGGAAAGAAAAUAAUAGGAAUUAUAAAUUUUAUAACAUCACACACACUAGAAAUAAUUUUAUAAAUUGAAUUUUAAAUGUAAUAUUUUCAGAAGUAAAUUAAACUAUCUAAAAAAAUUAAAUUUCAGAAAUAAUUGUCUUUUUUUUAAGCCUUAAUUUAUUUUUUUUAUAACGGCAAAGAUAAUUUUUUUAAAAAAAAUCGAAAAUCUUAUCUUAUUAUUAUUAACUUUUUUCUGAAAGGCACAAAAUCUUAUCUUAUUGUUGCUUACUUUACAAGUGAACAGGUAACCUAUAAAUAAGCCUAACACAACAGUGGCAACACACCAACGUUUGAAAAUACAAACCUUGUUCUCUGUUAUUUCUCUCAACAAUCGUUCCAAACAAAUCACGAGUUGAAUUCUGAAGGUUUCGCUACGUUUCUACCACUCAGGUUUGCUUCGCGGAACGCGAAAAUCUAACACUUUUAGGUUUUAUGAUGGAUGAUCUGCGAGAAUCUAUGUUCUAUCCGACUUCAUUUAUCUCAAUGAACUUUUCUGUGCUUCCCCGAUGCAAAGAUAGGGUUUCGCGUGUAGGAUUCCUUUCAAUUUAUUUAUUAGGGUUUUCAGAAGGAUCGGCGAUACCCUAAUUUGGGGGUUUUGGGAUAGUCUCUAUUGACGUUAUGAUCAGGGUUAAAUUAUUGAUCUUUGAUCCAAUUCUGUCAUGGGUUUUGACCUUGACGUGCUUGAUCUUCCUCGAUAGACUUGUUCUGCCAUAGUUUUGUUGCCAUGUUCAUCACUUGCUUUACAACUGUUAUUUUGGGAUGUAAAAUUUGGGACCCAAAUGGUUUUGGGUUUUUGAUGAGGAGUUGAGUCUACGGCUUAGGGUUUAUCAUUGAGUUAAUGAAUGAAAACAUGAGCUAUGGAGAAUUUUAUUGAUAGGAUACUGUAUCUGAUCUGGGAUGUCAUUGCAUUGCAAUGUUUGUUUUUUUAGAGUAUCAUGAAUACAAAGUUUGCACGAAGGACUGAGCGCAUUGGUGGAACAGCAUGUGCCUAUUGGAGAGCUGGGAGAUGUAACAGAAAUCCUUGCAGAUUUUUGCACAUAGAGACACCAUCACCACCUACUGCUUGUGGUUAUGUCAAUACUGCAUAUAGAUAUGGAAAAAAGCCCCAUUCCUCCUCUGAGAAUACCCCUAAAUAUAGUUCAAAGACAGCAUUGAUUAGCGAUAAUGGAGAUAGAGGAGAUGCGACAAGGGUCGCUAAGGCGUCCAAGAAAUCGUCACCAAGGAUAUGUAAAUACUGGAUCAACAACAAUUGUGUACAUGGUGAACAAUGCCUGUAUUUGCAUUCAUGGUUUCAUGGUGAUGGGUUUUCCACUGUAACAAAGCUUCAAGAACAUAAGAAGGUACUUGACUCUUAAACCACCAUUUAGUAUUUAACACACCGAAAUUAUAUUUAAAAUUCUUUCAUAAUUCAUUUUUAGUAUAAUAAUUAAAUCAAAAUUGAUAUCUGACUUAAUAAUCGACUAAUGUUUUUGCAAUUAUUGAUUAAGAGUCAUAGAGUAUUAUAUGCUAGAAUAACUUAAUGUCUGCCAAAGUGUUUUUGGAAAAACUUUCUCAUCCCUAGUUUCCUAGGAAAUGCUAGAAUUUGUGAGCCUUUGCAUCAUAUUAAUAUUUUUGGAGUAGUUAAAAUUAAAGCUUUUGACAACAGGUUAUCACUGGCAUUGCACUUCCUGUUGGAUCCGACAAACUUUAUUCUGGCAGCACUGAUGGGACAGUUCGGAUAUGGGACUGCCAUACUGGUCGAUGUGUUAAAGUCAUCAAUCUUGGUGCUGAGGUUACCUCUUUGAUCAGUGAGGGGCCAUGGAUUUUUGUUGGUCUGCAAAAUGCUGUCAAGGUAAGCUCUUAUCUGUCAUUAUUUUGUUUUGAUGUAUGAUAAUGUCUAAUUAUAGGUGUAGUACAUACAAACUGAUUAUGUGUCUGUGGUUGUUGUGAAGGCUUGGAACAUCCAGACCAUUACAGAGUUUACUCUUGAUGGACCCAAAGGCCAAGUCCGUGCCAUGACUGUUGGCAAUGAUACACUCUUUGCUGGUGCAGAGGUAACUAACCAUGUUAUUAUCUAUUCAUAUUCCCCUAACCUAUUUUUUCUGUAGUUGGUUAACUGAUGUUUUUUUUUCUUUCAUCAUAUUCAAAACUCUUACUUUUUUAAACAUUUUUUUCUGUUGGCUAUCAAUAUAUGUAUUUUAGGAUGGUGUCAUUUUUGCCUGGAGAGGAAGCUCUGGAGCUAAAUCUCCUUUUGAACUGGUUGCAUCACUCACUGGCCAUACUAAAGCAGUGGUUUGCCUGACUAUUGGAUGCAAGAUGCUGUACUCCGGGUCCAUGGACCAAAGCAUAAAGGUAUGUGUUGUUGGACAAUAUAGGGAUUCUAUUGUCUUUUUUAACAUGUGGAUCUUUUCUGAAAAAAGAUAUGUAAUUUCCUUUGAACUGCCCUAUAAUCAUCUAAUGACUGGAUCUUGUUAUUUUGUUUUUUUUCAGGUCUGGGACAUGGAUACAUUACAGUGUACAAUGACACUAAAUGAGCAUACUGACAUAGUCACAUCUCUUAUUUGUUGGGACCAAUAUUUGUUGUCAUGUUCAUCUGACUGUACAAUUAAGGUCUGGGCUUGCACUGAAGUAGGAUCUUUGAAAGUGGUAUAUACGCACACGGAAGAAAAUGUAUGCUACUCAACUUUCUAUUGUUUGGUUUUAUUUUUAUUUGUAAAGAACGAAGCUGAUAUUUCUUAUAAUGGUCAAAAGGAGUUGGUCGAUCUCCAGUAGAUAAUUCUUUAAUGUUUAUUACAGGGUGUUGUUUCACUUUUUGGGAUGCCUGAUGCAGAAGGCAAGCAUAUAUUAUUUUCCUCGUGCAGAGACAAUUCAGUUCAUAUGUAUGAAUUGCCAUCGUAAGUAAACCUAAAUUAUUCACGUAUUUUUUGUUACUUUACCUCCAUCAUUGUAAUAUUUUUUUGUUGCAUCCUCUUACCAUUUUUUUUAAAACAGAUUUUCAGAGAGGGGACGUUUAUUUGCCAAGAAAGAUGUGGCAUCAUUUGAGUUAGGUCUUGGUGGCCUCUUCUUCACUGGAGAUGAGACUGGUUUGCUGAUGGUGUGGAAAUGGUUGGAUGUACCCAAGGUGGCAUCCUCUUGAUGUGUUCCCUUUCGACUUUGGAGUUGUAUUAUCCAUCUGUCUCCUCUUGAAGCAGGUGAUGAUAAGAAUGAAUUUAUUUUUCUGAGCAGUAAAUGCACUGUAAAAACAAUUGUAUAGAAAUUGACAAUUAUAUAGAAAUACCAAUUUCAUUCUUUUAUAUUCUUCCCAGCAGAUGUAAUGCUCUCCUUCCUUGAUUAGUAUAUUUACUAUUGGAUUGCUCUUUAUGCUAUCAUUGCUUUAGCCAUAUCAAGAAUGAAUAGUCUCGGUGUCGAAAGUAGCAUGAUGUACUUCUUUUGCGGCUUAUUUGUAUUUCAACUCAUGAAGCUCAAGAUAUGGGUAGGCAUUGUCGCGGGAGGAAUGUUUAGGUUUGUUCUUAUCUUAAUUCGAACCAUACUUGCUGCACAACUGAAGAAGGAGGAGCAAGAUUAGCAUGUUGAAGUGUAAACUUCAGCCUAAGAAAUCUCAUUAUUGUUAUUUAUAGUUCUUGGAAUGACACUAAGAAAUCUCUUAUUAUUCUGGUUAAUGAGGGAAGACCAUUACGCGCAGAGACUAGUAGAGAUAAGAAAUGCUUAACAGUAAUGUGAGAAUUAAACUCAUUUUUUUUUAUCAUAAAUUCAGUGUGUUAUACCAACUGAAUUGCACACAUUGAAUUCACAUUGAAUUGCUGGAGUUUAUUGUUUUAGUAUUGAAAAAUGUGAUAUUUAUAAUAUAUAUUUUGUAUCUAAUACUCUCUCUAUUCUUAUAUAUAAGACAUAAUUACCUAAUUAUUCAAGAUUAAGAAAAAUAAUUAGUUUAAUUGUCAAUAUAAAUUUAUCUUAAAUUCGUAAUUUUUUUCAAAAUUAUCCUUGUAAUUAAUAUUUCCCUUUUUCUUAAUUGUUUAUUAAUAAAUUAUCUCUCUUCUUUAAAUUAGGGGUAUUUGUACUCUAAAAAUAAUUAAUGUAAGGAACAUUAUUAUAGAUUGAGUCUUAUAAAAAGAAAGAAACAUUAUUUUAAACUUGGUCUUACACACGCGUGCGCGCACACACACAAUCGUUGAAUUUAGGAUUGUUUGUGUUAAAUUUUGUUAAAAUUGAACAACAACAAGUAAUCAAAUCCAUAUUUUAAUGUUUCUGAAAGAUUUAUAUUAUAUCGAUUUUAAUCUAUAUGAAUGAGGUAGAAAAUGAUUUUGAAUUAAUAUAAAAUUUUGCAUAUGUGAUCUAUACGAAAAGAACUUUCAAUCCAAAGGUAAAAUUUUAAAAAACAUAUUCAAUUAAAAGUUAUAAAAUAGUGUAAUAGUUGUUAAAAUUAUACCGAUAUAAUUUGAUGCCUCCUAAUAUAUAUAAAUGAAGGAAGUAAAAAAAAAAAAAUACAGCAUAGCAAGUCUCGAUCCAAUCACGUGACAAACAACUGACACAAACACAUAAAUAUUUGUUGUAAUAUUAUUGACAAAUGUUAUAUUUAUAACAAGCAUAUUACAUAAAUACAUAUAAUAAUAAUUUAUAACCAAUAAUACCGGAUCAUACUAUUUGAUUAGUUAUUCACUUAUUCGAUCAUUGACUUAAUGAUCUAAUGCUUUUAUUAGAUUGAUUACUAGUUUAGAUUUUUAAAACUAUAAUAAAUAAAUAUAUAUAAUAAUAAUUUAUCAUGUUUGUGCCCGUAGUUGUUUGAUCAUCGAUUUGGGUUUUUGAAACUAUAAUAAAUAGUGACGAGAUGGAGAAUCAUGAAACAAUACUCUAACAACCAAAAUUGACAAAAAAAAUCAUUUGUAAAAGUUAAAACUAUAAAACUUGAAUAAAUUAUAAUGACACUCCUUAAGAUUUUAUCAAAUUACACAAAAUAUUUAUGCUUUUUUUAAUCCCCAGACAAAUCUCUUUUAAUUGUUCAAAAAAUAUUCCACUAACACGUUUUAUUUUACCUUACACAGUCCUUUGAGGUUUAAAAAAUAUUAUGCAUCUAUCCCCGUAAGCGAGGUCAUUGUAAGAGUAAAAAAACAGUAGAAAUAUUUUGUAUAAAGAUGUGAUUAUAGUUUACUCAAUAAAUACAUAUCAUGUAUUUAGUAUAUACUGAAAUACUACUAAAAGAAAAACACUAUAUAUCUUGUUGCCUCAAACGAUUAAUUGGUUAUAGAUAAAUAUUUUAGUUCCAUUCUAGAGUCUAGACUUUCAAAUUUCAAUAUAUGCUGCUCCAUUAAAAUUUGGGUCUCAAUUUUUGCUAGAGUCUGGAAGCGAAAAAGUAAUUAGAUGAAAAAAAUGUCUUAAAAAAUUCAGAGAAUUGAACAAAAUGCAUGUUUAAAAAACACAAUUUUUAAUAAUAAUAAUAAUAAUUAUUUUAACAAUUUUUUUAGAUCUAACAAAAAUAAAUAAACACUCUUAACAUAAAUUAAAUCAAACACACACUUUUUCUUCAGUAAAAAACAAACACGAACACUGCACAUUCAAAACCAAACCAAGCUUGUCUUUGUGCAAGUGCAUCAAAUUUCAAUUUCAACACUAACACCAGAACGUGAACAUCGAAAUUUCACGCGAAAAUGGCAACAGAGAAUUCUCAAGUUUACCACGAAAGGCAAAGGUUACAGUUCUGUCUCGUGCACUCUCUCAACUCCCUCUUUCAGGUGCUUCUUCUCUUUCCCUAGCACUGAUUCUUCAAUUUAAGCCCUAUCAACGAUACCCGCCAUGUUUUAUUUUCCAAUUUCGUUUCUUUUGUCAUAAUUUCAUCGAUUCACGCUUCGUUCUGCUUCUGGGUCUAUUCAAUUUCCCUCCAAUCAGCAAAAGGACGCUUUCACUCGAGCAAAAUUGAAUGCAAUUUCUGAAAGGCUCGCACUUGAAGACUCCAACAGUGAAACGUGGACCCCACUAUCUGUUCUUUUCAAGCCCCAUCACAAUGUGUUGACUGGGAACUAUGAUAUAAAUGUUCUAAUUGCGGCUUUGGAAGAGAAGGGAAAGAGUGUACUGUGGCAUGAUCAUAGAAAGGGGGCAUCUUCCAUUGAUGUUGAUGCACCUGAGGAUGUUUUGAUGGGGGUUGUGAUCAAUGUGGCAUUGAAAAGGUUUGCUGGGAUCUGGAGAAGUAGGCACUGGAUUGCAUUGAGGAAGAUUGAUGGGGUUUGGUAUAACUUGGACAGUGACCUUGCUGCCCCUCAACCCUUUCUUGAUACAUAUAAAGUUAGGGAGUUCUUGGAUUCCACAUUGGUGCAUGGUGGGGAGGUUUUGAUUGUCAUGAAUGAGAAACAGUCUUGAAAAUAAUUUUAAGUAAAUGUUUGUUAACUCGGUCAUUUAUGGUCGAUUUUUGUGUGCGUCCAUGUUAUAGUGUUUUUAUUUUUUUUUAUUUUUUACUGGUCAAUGUUAGUUGUUAGUUUGUGUGCGUCCAUGUAUAUAGUGUAAGACCGAUAGUAUUUCAAUGGAGAUUGUUGCUUCCUUCAUCCUCGUGUCUCUGAUGAUUUUUUCAUGACUUUUUUUUUUGUGAAUAAUGUUAAAAAUUGCUUCCAGAGGGUGUUAUUUAUAGGAAAUAGUGUGUUAAAGCACUGAUAAAUGCAGGCUUCGUUGUGUCUUUGAUCUGCAGUGCACCUUUGAACCAUUAGAUACUGUUUGAUUCUGAAAGUGAUAGUGUAUAAGCAUUUAGGCUCAGCAUGUGGAUAUUUUUCUCAGCACUAGGGAGCCCACAAAUGCAUGUGGAUAUUUUUCAAGCCCCAUCAUGCUGUAGGCGGAUAUGAACAAAAGUGUUUGAUAAACACCUAUGCUGUAGGCGGAUAUGUAACUUCAAUUUUUCCACAAAUGCGACUUGUAAAAUAUUGUCUAGCUAUUGUCUACAAGUUCUUAUAAUCUCACAUCCUCUUGGUAUUGAUUGUUCUUAUAAGCACUGGUUAUAGCCAUCUUUAGCUAUUAGCACUUAGGGCUACCGGCUACGCAUGGGACAGGUGGGAGAAAAUAAUUUGUUUUAUUUUGUAGAGAUACUUAUGCUUCAUGCAUAUCUCUAUAGUGCACAAAUUCAUUCCCUUAAUCUGUCAAGCAAAGCAUCUAACCCAUCGUUGGCUACCUCUUGUUCAAUUCUAAUAAUUAAUCAAAGCGGUAAAAAAAUCAAACUUCUCUCAUAAUUAAUCAACUUAUGUACUUCAACUUAUGAAAAAUGAGAUGAAAGCUUCUGAAAUUUAUGUGAGGAUGUUCAUUCAUUUUGUCUCCUUAAUUUUUUUUAUUUUCUUCUAAGUACUUCUUAAGUAUAUUCAAACUAGAAUCAUAAUUAUUAAAACAUGUUUCCACUCAAUUUCAUGAUUGACAGAUUGAGUUAUUAAAUCAUUUCAACAUCUCAGUGGAGAAUAUCAAACCCUUGGCCAUUUCUGGCAUGUGGUCCACUUGUGACCAUAUUAGCUAAUAAUUUGCUGAUAAAGGGCAGAAGGGUAACUCACCUGGUAUGUUUCUUUUGCUGCAUAAAAUAUAAAUCGCAGCUUGUUCUAAGGAGCUCCAAUGUGGUCGAAAGUUUCUACCUAAGUGUUGAAUGUUUUUCAUUUCAAUGAGUAGAAAAAUUGAUGGUGACAUUAAAUCGUCAAUCUCCAUAGCAUGCUGGAUGAUGGGUCUUCGCUUUCUUUUAGUCAAAAGAUCCUGGAUAUCAUAUUUUAUUUCUAACUUUCCAAGAUUCACACCGUAUUUUUGUUUUAAACUUUCUAAGUUUGACAUUUUGCCCGUAAAGCUUAGAAUUAUAUCAUAAAUGUUUGCUAUUUACACACAUUUUCAUUACAUCAUCGUUUUGCUCUAUAUUCUGUUGAUAAUAAAACAAGAAUAGCACACACAUUCUUACCCUUUGUCUUUUUUUAUUUAUUUAUUCUGCAUACCCUUUAUUAUCUUCUAAAGCGAUGUGUGAACACAUUCAAUAUUUUAAUAUUCAAGUAUCAUUUUUCUUUUUUCCAAUGCUAAGUGAAGAUCCAUCAUAUCAUGUCAACUAGUCCACAAUGGAUCAGUGGAUCCUAUUCUUUAGAGAUAAAAUAUUCAGCAGCAACUCGGUUGGCUGUGUCUUGUUGCAAUUGGAGCUUUGAGUAAAGAAAUAGGGAAUAACAAUGGAGCAAUCCUAGUGGUUGUUUUGAGAGCAUCUUCAGAGAAAUGAGUGAAAGAAUAUUGCCCCCACCUUCCUCAUAUUUAAAAAUGGGUUUCUAGCUCUGAGGAAUGAUGACUAAAUUACUUUAUACUAAAAAUUUUCCUGCUAUCUUUGAUUAUACUUAUCUUAGAUACCGGUUCUUUACUCCAUUAUUACAUGGAAAAGCAUAAACGUGUGCUCUGCAAAGUCACAAGGCGGCACUGCAACUGGAAUAGAAAGUAAUAAAGAGGGCUAGUGUAUCUCCAACUCUCUACACCUUUAAUAUGCUCCUUUUCUUUUCUCACCGCCUUAAUCCAACUGUGUCACUUUAUAUAUAUAUAUAUAUAUAUAUAUAUAUAUAUAUAUAUAUAUAUAUAUAUAUAUAUAUAUAUAUAUAUAUAAAAGAAGCGUAUCAGGUGAGAAAUGUUAGUGCGAGAGGACUAAAUUUCAACCAUAUAAUUCCCACAAAUGCUUAAGAUUAAAACUAAUUAAAACAAUAUAGACUAUCCAUAUAUUGGUGUAUGAUAAAAAUUUACUUCAUUAGAUAUGUCUCCCUCUAUAUAUGAUUAGGGAGAGUAAAUCAAAGGAAAGUCAAUAGAAGAAAAUCACCUAUUGUUUAAUCUAUGUAACUAAUCUCAUCUAAUAAAAAAGACUUAUUUAAUGUUGUUUUUGUUUCCAUAUACUUUUACACAGUUCUUUCAUGAUAAAGGUAAAUAGGAGAAAUACUGAAAGACUUCUAUAAAUGCUUGUUUUUCAUUCACAUGAGAACCUCCUCAUUCCACAGUUCCCACCUCUCUAACAACUCUGCUUCUAACUUCCAAGUCUCACAUAUAAUUCCUUUCAACUUUCAAUAGCAUCACAUACCACAGUCUCUCAUAUCUCUUUCUCUUCUGAAUAUAAUGCUAUCAUCAUCCAAACAAGAAUAAACAACAGAAUAUGAGUCAAAGUGGCUACAUCAAUGAGAAAUCAGGCUUGUCCUUGAGACAGAAUUCCCAUAGGAAAUCAAACAGAAAUGGGCAAGUGAAGAGCUGCAUGUUCAGGAUUCCUUGGCAGUCUGAGAGCUCUCCCAUUGAACUUGUGAAGGAUCUUGCAGAAAGAGUCACAAAUGCUCUACGCUUGAUCUCUCCAAAGAGAUCUUUACACCAAGGCUCGUCUUCCUUAUCAAGAUCAAAAUCAACAGGGUCCUCUAUUGAUUCUCAUAGAACUGCUGCUGUUGAGGACUGCAUUGAGUUCAUCCACUCUUCCUUUUCCAGAUCAAAUUCAUCAACCGAAGCACCCCGCCAAGAUUCUAUUCAAGCUCCUUGAGUUGAGAUGCUUGCAAUCAUGUGCUUGCUACUAUGCUUAGGUUUAUAUCUUCCUUUUUUUUCCCCACAAAUAAUAGUGAUGGGAAUUAAGUGAUUGUGUUAUGUUUCUGUACAAACAGAAGCAGUGUAUAUUCUUCUGAUGGAUUUCUUACAAGGUGCUUUUCAUUUCGGCUAAAAUAGCAUUUUUCAAUGAAUCAAUUGCAAUCAACUACAUUUCUCAUUAGGAAUAUUUUGAAAAAUGAUUGGCAGGAUUUUAUGUUUAACCAUUCACAUGCAGAAAGUAAGAAAUAAUUACAAGAUUUCGUGAUGGAAAGGCUUAGAAGAAUAUGUGAUGAAUAUAUAAUAUCCUUAUCCUAUAUCUCUAUUAUGUUCGUAUUGUUCUUUCUUUUCUGGAUCUUUUGGAAUAUAAUUUGCAUAGCAGGGUUACUCAUUCUCGUUCUAGUAUCAAAUAUUGAAGCCAUGAAAAAUUCCCUUGUCUCCGCAUUACAUGCAUGGAUGAAAGUGAGUUCUUUUCUAUAUUGAAUGAUCGCAUUAUUUUAAUCUUUGUGGGUUCUUAAAAAGUACCAAACCUGAAUGGUUUUAUUUUCACUAUUUUUCUACAAAUGAUAUAUUGAUAGUGCUAACUGCUAAGGUUAUAUCAACUAUUAGAGUGAAAGCUCAAAGCAGAAGGUUCUUUGCUUCAAGUAGUUUCUGUUUUUGAUGGUUUUGGAUCUCAUCUAGUUGAUCAUAAUUUGGGACUUGGUUUCAAUUCCAUCCAACUUUUGGAACUUUCCCUCAAAUGAAUUGGAUUGAAGUAAUUUAACAUUUAACUUCUAAUAUAAUCAACAAACAGAAUGAGGCAUAAGCCCAGAAUCUUCUUUGGUUAAACCAACAACAUUAACUGGAUGGUAGUGCUAAUUGCAUGAUUUAAUCAGGUUCAUUACAAUGAAUUUCCCAUACUUCAAAAAUCAAGAUCAUAAUCGCCACAUAAAGCACGAGCCUUUAAAUUGUAAAAGUUAAAAAUUGGGCCUGAUUGUUUUUUUUUAAUGGCACAAUUUUUUUUAUUAAUAAGAUCACAAAAGAAGUUCAAGAUGUACCCCUAAGGAAAAAAAAGAAAAACAAACAAGUAAGCCUGAUACAAUGCCAUAGACAUGAUUCUGUCAUAUGACCCUUGCCCCAAGUAAAUUGUGCCUGCAUGGUAACUGAACCAAAAUGAAUCAAAUUGUUGUAUAAACUCCAAUGAUCAAAAAGAGCAAAACACACAACUCAGGACUCCAAAAUGGUCAAUACUUGAAAAAGUUAAAUGGACAGGAAGGACCAUAAUGCAUUUGAAAAAGUACUGAUAAUGCAAUCCUCCCAGAAUCCAAUCCUGUAAUCCUUUCUACUCUUUGCUACCACCUGCAUCACUGCAACCUUUUCUACAAAGACUCUUAGGCCGUGUUUGGUUUCAAAAAAGAAAAAUAGAAUAAACGAAAAUAGAAGAGAAAUAAUUUGAAAAAGAAGAAAUAAAGAAAAAAAAUAAAAGAAUAUAUUUUGUUAUUUGGGUUAAGAGAAAUAGAAUAAAAAUAGUAUUAUAAAAUUGUUUAUUCACAAAAAUACCCUCUAAAAUAGUUAAUGUAACGUAAAAUAAGAGAUUUAAAAGGGCAUAACAGACUUUUUGGCCUUUGUUAACGGUAAUGAUGAGGGGAUGCUUCUAUGUGGGGCCCACCACACUCUUCUUAUUCCUCAGCUAAAUUACUUGUACCAAACCGCCAACUUACAAUUCCAAUUAUUUCUAUGGCGCUUAACAAACACAGCCUUAGAGUUGGUGAAACAAAUGAGAUGAUGAGGGAAGCCAUCUUGCUGGCUUUGGAAGCUAAUCUACAAGAAUACGACAAAGCCUAGAAAUUUUGGUUGGAUUUGAAUCCAAGUGCCAAUAUAUCUCUUGUGACUACUUACUUGUCCUAAGUGAAUUUUAGCUGUUGGACUGGGCUUGCUUUGGACAUGGGAACUAAUUAAUCAAUUCUCAUUUUAUGAGGUCAUUGAGUAAAUGUUUAAUUAUAGUAUUCUUUACUCAAUUCAUCUUAAUAAUUUAAUAGAAGACAUAUGUCUGUAUAGUUAUAGUUUUGUUAUAAUUAUUAUUUUGGUUUCUGUACAUGUCUAUAUUGUUUUGACUCUAAUAUAAAUUAUAAAUUUUUAAUCCUGGAGUAAUACAUUUAAUGUGUUUUGCUCCUUACUUUUUAGUUGUCUUCUAAUUUCGUUUACAAUUUGAUAAUAUGGCUGUUUGGAUGGAAGAAUUUAAAAUUCUGAGAAAUUUUAACUUCUAAGAAUUUCAAAUACUUCAAUUGAAAUUCUUUUAUUUUCAAAAUUUUGUGUUUGGAUAAAAAAAGUUAAAAUUAUGAGGGUGAAAAAAAUAAAUGAAAAAAAAAAGAAAAAAUAUGAUUGGUGUGCUAGUUACACGUGUUCCUCUAUGCUCAGACCCGAUCAAUGUUCUACAAUCUCAUAUUUCUUGAAGAAGAUUGUAAGAAGAGAAUUUUAAUUUCUCACAUUUUAGAAGGAAAUUGAAAUUCCAUAUUUUUAGUUGUUUAAAAUUCUGUUUUAAAAUUUCAAAAUUUUAAAUUAUUAAAAAAAACAUUCAAAUAAUGAAUUCUAGAUUACAGAAAUUUAAAUCCUCUGAUAAAUUAUUUUCUUUAGUUAAAAUUCUUUAUCCAAAUAUAUUUUAAAUGAUUUUGGAUUAAGGAAUUAAUAGUGCUAAUAAUAUAGUCAUUAAAAUCAUUUGAGAACGCAAUAAUGUAAAAAAUGAAGAGUUUAUUUUAGCAAUUUAGUCAAACUAGGUAUAUACCCUUGCGCGGAUGUCAAUCUUUUUUAUUAUAAUUAGUAAAUUAAAUUAAAAAUCCUAAAGAGACAUGUCAAAAAUACUGUUACAACGAGAUGGAUUUUGUGAAUAAAAUGCAAGAAGUUUUGUAGCUAACUAGUAUUUUAGCCGUGCUAUGCCCGGCCAUGAAUUAUUAAAUAUAUGAAAAUAACUUGAACAAAUUGUCUAUUAUAAAAUUGUAAUAAAACUAUAUUAAACACAAUUACCAACGAUUGUUUACUUUGAAUAGAACUUAUCUAUAUAUAGAUAGUGUCAUUUAAAAAUUAACGAUAAUAUUGUAUAUUUUCUCAUUAAAUUGUGUUAAUGAAUUUUUUCACGAUAUUUCCUAUUAAACUAUUAUCACAUUUUAUAAUGUCAAUCCAAAAUUAGCGAUAUUUAUUGACAUUACUCUCGCUCCUAAGAAAACACCAUUAAAACUACAAAUAAAAGCUAAAGAGAAUAAACAUAGAUUUCAGAUUUCACUUCAUUCAUUCCUCAAUAGGAUGCAAACCUUACAUUAUAUAAUUUUCUUAAUGGAUAACAACCAUAUACAUAUGUCACCAUCUUAGUAUUUUAGAAAAUUAAAAUAAAACCAAAUAAUAUCAAAAGGAUAACAUCUAAAUUAUCUAUUCUAUAAAAGUCCUCUAUUUGGACCUCCUAGGCCCAUCCAUCCUUUCAUAAUGGAGCUGAUCCUGGUGGAUAUGAAGGACUUUCUGAUGGUGAUAUAUGAUGAGAAAGGCUCAAAAUCUGGUGGUAAUGAAAAAGGGAAAUGUGAUGCUGAUUGUUUAAGUGUCCCUUGGUUAUUAACACCCCCUUGGAUUCUGGGUGUAUUAGCAGCAUUUGCUACCUUGAGGAAGUUGCCUCCUGUAUGAUCUAUCCCCAUGUGCCUGAGACAAGAUUGACACAAGCAAAUAAUUUCUCUAAUCUGUAGAUUCUCUAAUUUCUUUUCCCAACUAAUUUGCUUUAUCAAAAUGACAAGUAUUUUGCAGUGUCUUGUUGAAAAUGAAAUAACGAGAUAAUUAAUAUUAAUUCUAUAUAUUACCACUUUAUUGCUACAAUUAGUGACAUGCAUAUUGUAUGUGAUAAAAGCAAGGGUGCGGGGGAAAGCAGAAAACAAUGACGUUCUGUAUUGAAUUUUUUAAAUAUAGGAAACUUGUCAUAGUCCAUGCAAACUAAAUAUGUAAAGGAGAAUGAUACUGUCACACAUCUAAAUUCCUUCCCAUAAUUUCAUUUCAAAUAAUAUAUGGCUUAGAUAUAGUUCAUUCUUUUACACCAAGUCGAAAUUGAACGUUUUUAAAGUCAGUUCGUACGUACGUCGAUCCCUCAAUAUCAAUAAUUAAUUAGUGAAGUUAAAAUUUGUUUAAGUAGUUACGAAAUGGAAUUUCUCUGAUUGGUCAAUGAUGAAACUCAAAAAGAUAUAAGAUGCGGAUAACUGUGAAGUUGAAUUAAUUCUCAAUAAACCUUAAACAUAGAAGUGGAUUUGUUAUUUGUUUUAAGUGGUUAAAAUGAUAGUAAAUUAUAAACAAACACGUUAUUAUCAAAUUCGUUUUUAUAUAUGGAUACAUGAAAAUUUAACACAAUCAUUGACAGAUUUUUUUUUUUGGGAAAAAUAUAAAUUAUAUUAAACCCAAAAUAAUACAACAAUAAAUUGGGCAUACCUCGCAGUUAGAGAAAAUAAAAAACUUAUAUCAAAAUGUUAAAAUAAAUACAACAGAUGUGCUUGUCUAUACAUAAAAAACUUAAUCUUCCUAAUAACCUCUAUUACACAAAAUUGAUAAUCUUCAAACAUCAAUUUGUUCCUAGACAGUCAGAUGCAAUAGUAUAGCCAGACAACAAAAAUUUUCUUGAACACCUGAUGUGGAUCUACCCUAAUUAAAGAGUGAGUAAUACACUGCAAAGUGAAACGUCUGCAGAAAGGAGCUAAAUCACGAAUGUGAAUCCAAACUUAAAAAGAUUUCCUGUGAGAAAAGAACAAAUAAGUAUUUGAAUCAGCCCCAUUUGAAUAUAAAUAACAGAGCGAACCUUAAAAAAUUAACUUUGUCAAGAGUAAUCAUUGACAAUUUUUUUAUUAUUAUUAUUAGUAAUCAUUGACAGAUCUUAAUUUUGAAGCACAUGCGUAAAUAUUUAAUUUCGAUGUGUACGCAAGGGGAAGGAAGUCGGCUAACCAAUAUUAUUGAAAAAGCCAACUAAAAUUUUCAUAAUAAAUAAUUUGCAUUUUAUGUUCGGCCUUUAGUGUUGCAAACAAAUUAUUUGGUGAAAUUCGUAUUAAUUCCUAACCUAAACUGUCACGCUCAUGCAAAUAUUAGUGUUAAACAAAUAGCUAACUACUAUAAGUUAAAUUAACUCAAACAAAAGUGCCCACCAUUUAACUACUAUAGUCCCUCUUGUACGACGACAAUUUAAUAAACUUAACAAGAUUUCAAUGCUAAGCUCGUGUUUUUCUUUGUAUGAUUUGUCGGGCACUUUGCGUAGAGUGCAAGAGAAAAUAAUCGUUCAGAAGGUUUAUCGAAAGAAAGAAAAUAGAGCUUCCAGCAAAAUAUGAAACAUGAUAGAAAAAAAAUAGUCUUCUAUAGUUAGUAAACCAUUUCUAGUCAUUCGAUGAGGAAUUGAGUAUUUCUUACUUUAAGAACAUUAAAUGGUGUAUAUAACAAAAGCUAAAGUAGCAUACCUUCAUUACGAUUUAAAUAAUGAAAUGUUGCAGGUUGCGUUAACCUUCAUUGACAUAACAUAAGGAUGUGAUUCAUUGGACAAACCACGUAUGUUUUUUUUUUUUGAGAAAAUAUAUUGGUCUAUUUAAAAAAAAAUCUAAAAAAGAGAAUAAUGGAAAAAUUUUGAAUUUUAAAAUUUAAAUACUUUGGCGGUUUUCAAAUAAAAUGAUUUAUGUUGUUGAUCCUCAAAAAGUUGAAGAAAACUACUUCGUGCAAUAAAGUAAUUAACAAAUCUCAAUCUCAAAACAAACCUUGAUACGUUUUAAAAUUCAACAAAAAAAAAAGGAUAGUUUUCAAAUGGUCAUGUUUAAUUUUUAUUUUUUUUGGGAAAAAUGUAAAUUAUAUUAAACCCAAAAUGAUACAACAAUAAACGGGAUAUACCCCGCAGCUAGAGAAAAUCAAAAGUCUCCCUAAUACAAGAAGGUCUAUAUCAAGAUGCUAAAAUAAAUGCAACAAGUACGUUUGUCUAUACAUAAGAAACUUAAUCUUGCUAAUAACUUCUAUUACAGAAAAUUGAUAAUCUUCAAAAAUCAGUUUGUUUCUAGACAGCCAGAUGCAGUAGACUGUAAUUGCUAUAGCUAGACAACUUAGUUUGAUGUGGAUCUGCCCCUAAUUAAAGAGUCAGUAAUGCGGUGUAAAAAAAUGAAACGCUUGUGGAAAGGAGCCAAAUCACGAAUAUGAGUCCAAACUUGGAGAGAUUUCCUGCAAGAAAAGAACAAAUGAGAACAAAUGAGAUUUCCUGCAAGAAAAGAACAAAUGAGAAUUUGACUCAGUCUCAUUUGAACAUAAAGGGUAGAGGGAACCCUUGUUCAAAAAAACAACUUUGUCAAAAGUAAGCAGUCGGUUCCUUUUAGCAAGCCACAAAAUGAAAGAUAUUUUAGGGGGGAUUGCUGGGUUCCAUAUAACAAAACACCAACUAAUAGUAAGCUUGACACCUCUAAUGUAUUCAUAGACUUUGCCAACAAGUAAUUGUUCAUUGGUGCUCCAAGAUUGAAUCCUCUUUUUGGCCUCUUCCAUACUUAGCUCUUUGGAGAUAAUAAAGUCCCUUAUUUGAAUGAUUUUUUUUUAUCAAAACUGAAUCUGAUGAAGAAGUAUUGUAAUUCCACACAUCGCUCCCUCUGAAAUAGUAAUGGUGAGCCCACCGAACCCAUAGAGAAUCUUUCUUACAAUGAAAGUCCCACAGGAUACGGGAAAGAAGCGCAAGGUUCCAGUUCUUGAGAUUAAAAAGGCCUAAACCCCUUUCUUUUUUCGGAGAACAAACUACUGACCAAGCAACCAAGGGCUUAUUUUUGCCAAUAUCCGCUUUGCCCCACAGAAAAUUACGGCACGAAGCGUUGAUCCGGUCCAGAACAGAUUGCGGCAAAGAAAAAAUCCUCAUCCAGAAAUUCACAAUUCCUUGAAUAACUGCUCUGAUCAACUCUAACUUACCUGCAUAAGAUAAAGACUUCUUGCUCCAUCCCUGAAUCAGGCCAGUAAUCUUGGAAAGCAAGAGAGCAUAAUGACAUACAUUUAAUCUAGAUGAUAAAAAUGGAACACCCAAGUAUCUAAAAGGGAAGUCACCCAAGCUAAAUCUAGUGAACUACUGAAUAUGAGAAAGCUCAUGAGGCCUAAUACCAGCUGAGUAUAUGACAGAUUUAUCAGAGCUGAUGGAAAGCCCUGAAACCCUACAAAAGUGCUGAAGCUUGGCAAACAUAGUUGACACGGAACAUAUAUCUCAUCUAGAUAGAAGCAUAAUAUCAUCUGCAAAAGCCAAAUGAGAUAGCUGAAUACCUGCACAGUUGGGAUGAAAUUUAAAAUUGGCAUCAUCCUUGAGACUGCUCAUAUCUCUGGAAAAGUACUUCAAACAGAUAAGGGGAGAAAGGAUCCCCUUGUCUAAGACCUCGCUGCCCUUUGAAGUGACCAUAAAUGGAUCCAUUGACUGCCACACUAAAGGAAGUGGAAGAAACACAUUUUAUGAUCCAAGUACAGAACUGAACUGGGAAACCAAUGGACUUAAACAUCAAAUCCAAGAAUUCCCAAGAAUUGUUGAUCAACCAUUCCAAAAUGAUUGUGGUUCGAAUCCCAGUCGUGGAUGGUGGUGGUGGUGUUAUUAUUGUUUGGUGAUGAUGAGGAAAAGAUGAUCAUGUUUAAUUUACUUACACAUAAGGGGGGGGAUAUUUAACAUGAGACAGAGAUUAAUAUGAAAAUGAAGAAAAAAUACAAACAAAAAUAAAUUUUAGGAAACUAAAAGCUGAAAAAAAAAAAACUUCUGAUAUAUAUGCAGAAUAAGAAGAGAAAACUAGGUAGUUGCAAAUUGGUUUAAUAUUAGACUGUUUAAACAAGCUAAGAAGAAGAGGGAGAAAAUUAAUUGGAAACUUAAUAAACAGAAUAGUAAAUUUUAAAUUUGUCAAAAAAGAGUCUUUUAACUAAAAAAAAUAAGUAGAUUUUUAAAAAUAGAAAAAUAGAUAGUUUAAAUUAAUUAACAAAUUGGUUGAGAUUUUAAAAUUAAAACAAAAUGAGCAGGUUAACAAUUUGGUCAAUUUUUUUAUUAAAAUUAAAAAAAUGGUAGUUUUAAUUAAGAAUUUGGUAAUGGGCUUUUUUUUAACAAAUUGGUGUAUUAAUUUAAAAUUCAAAAAAUUAGACAGUUGUAAAUUUCAAUAGAUAGAUGAAAACAAGUAUAAGAACUAAGAUAGAAAUGAAUUAUCUUUAUUACUCUUCACUGUGCAGUAAGCUUUAAACACCAACAACCCGAAAGCUCCACCCGCAACAUCUAAGUAGAGAUGAUCAUUACAACUUGUGGUUGAUACCUUGCACUAUUUUAUUUUUAUUUUUAUUAAUAUUGCCUUUUCCUUUGCCUUCCAAAACAAAAAGAUUCAAUUUGAAUUUUCUUUGCCACAACCGCAAGUUUGUAUUUGUCUCUCACAACUUCAUUGUACAAAAUAUUGGUUCACCCAAAUUCAAUAAAAUGACACCAACAUAUAUAGUCUCCCAUAAAAACCCUAACAUAAAAUAACCUAAACCACCAAAUCAGUCCGGUAACCUUAUGGGCACCAAUGCUCCAACCCUAUCUCUCUCUUGAAUCCAUAGAUAGUUAUUCAAUUUUUCUUUUAUUUCAUUCCCUCAAUUAAAUUCUUUCUUAUUCUACACUCGUAAUUAUCGCCUCGAACUUCGAUCUAAAUUCUCCUAUGAGUUGAUAUUAUUUAUAAUUUGAAAUUUGUCGAUGGUGUUACUACUUGUUGCAUAAUCUAAAGUUUAAUUACUUUAUUGAUUUGCCACAAAAUCGACAGUGUAGGAAUUUAUUAGGGAUGAAUUAAGGAUAUUGAUUGUUCAGAUCUGUAAUCCCUAAUUUGUGUGAUUAGCGUGUAGUGUGAGGGAAGAGAGGUAACAAUGAAAGAAGGAGGAACGUCUACAUAGGCUAUAGAAUAACGUUUCCUAUAUCAAUUAUACUUGUAAAUGACUUUAAAAAGUUAAAAAAUCUGCAUCUCCUUCAGAUAGAUUUGGACCUAAGUUUGGAUAAGCUUGAAUAAAAAAAAAUAUUUUGAUUUUACAAUGACAAAAAAUAUAAUAAAAUUUUACAGGAUAAAUUUCAAACAUUUUAAUAUUUAAAAAAUAUAUUUUAACCAUUUUUCUGUCUUGAUUCAUAUUUUGUUGCAAGCCCCAUUUUCUUGCUUCGGAUCAACCGUCCCAUUGGAACUUUGUUAAAUUUAUUAAAUUGUGGUACAAGGGAUUAUAGUAGUUAAAUGGUGGGCACUUUUGUUUGACUCGAUUUAACUAUAGUAGCUAGCUAUUUGUCUAACACUAAUAUUUGCUUGAGUAUGACAGCUUAGGUUAUGAAUUAAGACGAAUUUUACCAAAUAUGUGGAUAGUUUAGGAGCAUGACAGUACUAAAGGCCAAACAUAUAUAAUAUUGGUUAGCUGACUUCCUUCACCUUGUAUUUAUGUACACAAAACCAAAUUAAAUAUUUAAACAUGUGCCUCAAAAUUAUGAUCUGUCAAUGAUUGUGUGAUAAAUUUCAUGUAACCAUAAAAAUGAAUUUGAUAAUAGCUAGGUUGUUUAUUUAUAAUUUUAGUUAUCAUUUUUACUACUUAAAUAAGAGACAUACUUCUCUGUUUAAGGUUUAUUGUGAAUUAAUUAAACUUAACAGUUAUCCUUUUAUCCUAUAUCAUAUCUUUAUCAUUUUUUUAUCACCCAAUAAUAUAUAUAUAUAUAUAUAUAUAUAUAUAUAUAUAUAUAUAUAUAUAUAUAUAUAUAUAUAUAUAUAUUAAUGAAAGAGGUACUAGAAGGACCCGAUAUGCUUCCUAUCCUCCUCAAACAUACAAUACACCUGGUUAUUUUAUAUUUAUGAUACCAGAAUCAUAAAUAACUUAUAACCAAAGCAGAGACAAUAGAAAAGGUGGAUACAUAUAAAGUUGCAGCACAUGCCAUAUAAUCCCAUUCACUAUCAUCAAUUACCACGUAUACCUAUGCAGAAGAGUGCCCAACAAUUGUUUAAGAGUAAUGAUACACGAAAGAUCAUUUAUUUUAAACACACUAAAUAUUUUUUAUUUCUUUUUAUCUCUUCUUUUUAAUCACAUCAUAAAUUUAAAUUAAAUUUUAUCGCACCUAUCAUUUUACCUCUUCUCUCUCUACUCUCUCUAAGUGUUGAAUAGCAAAUGUGUAAUAUCCUCCUCCUCCGUUUGGCAGAAUGUGCAUCUCGACUGCACCCUCACUAUCUGAACAUUUCUCCUCUUGAGAUUCUAAAUAGAAGGCAAUUGAUCCUUAAACAACCUCCAAGUAAACACAGGUAUGGUCAGCCUCAGGAGAAUAUGCCAAAGAAUUAUAUAUUGUUUUCACUGAGAAAUUAAUAACCCAGAGGUUGUGUGUUUCCAAUACUGCAUAUUCUCUCUAUCCUGUAACAGAAUAAUCCCCUACAAAUGUGUUCUAAUACUGCCUAGCAUAAAUACUUUGUUUUUGCUCAGAGUUCAUAAAUAGCCUUCUAAACUUUGUAGCCAAACACUCAACCCCCUCCCACGGUUGAUGCCAUAACAAGAUUUUUCUGUCAUCGCCUACCUUCCAAGCCACACUCUUAUCAUAACAUUCUUUAUUUUUACCUACACGACAAACCUCAACCAAAUCUCUCCACCAUAAGGAAUCAUUCCUUGAUGACCUUUGAACUUCAGCAUUCCCGAAUUUUCCAUAUUUUGAUUUUAGGACUACUGCCCACAAAGAACUUUGAUCCAAAGCAAGUCUCCACUUCCCUAAAAGAGCUUGGUUAAAUAGUCUAAUGUUCUAUAUUCCUAGCUUCCCUUGCUCCUUACUAAACAAACCUCCUCCCAUUUGACCCAAGCAAUCUUCCUUUUAUUCUCCUCACCUCUCCAAAGAAAGUUUCUUUGGAGCUUAAUAAUCCUUUUAACAACACACGGUGGAACUUAGAAAAAAGAUGCAUAAAAAAUGGCAAUAUGAAAAUAGCACGAAAUUAAUGAGUGUGACUCUCCCUCCUGGCGAAAGUGAUUUUUGUUUCCACAAAGCCAACUUUCCCUUCACCUUAUUGAUGAUUGGUUCCCAAGUUUUACCUCUUCUAGGAUUGGCCCCAGCCGCGAGAUGAUCGUCAACUUGCAAUUUAGCAUGCUGGUGAAAGUAUCCAAUAGGUUAUCUGAUACCCCAAUGCCCACCAACUUGCUUUUAAAGAAAUUGACCUUUAGCCUUGACCCCAUUUCAAAACACCUCAAAAUUAUCUUCAAGCAUAAAACAUUUUGUAUAGUGGGGUCUAGAAAGAACUAAUUAAAACAUCAUCUGCAAAUUGCAAAAUUAAGAUUUUCACAAGAUUUUUUCCAACCUCAAAGCCUUUGUGGCGACCCUCCUUACUCCUAGACCUCUUUGGAGGAUGAAUUCAUUGAAAGGACUACCAUUUACCAAAACAAACAUACGGAUGAUUCCAAACCCCCUUUAAUCUACCCAAUGCACUUUUCAUAAAAACCCAACCUCAACCUCUGCAUCAUAUAACAAGAAAAUCUCAUGACACUGAGUCAUGUCUUUUGGAAGUCUACUUUGAAAACCAUGACCCCCCUCUUUGCUUCCUCGACAACUUCAUUUACUACGAGUACACCAUCUACCCCCUCUUAAGAAAACACUUUGUCUCAUAUCAAUGACUUUACCCAAUACCCGCUUCACUCGCUUUGCCAAAACCUUGGAGAUGACCUUGUAAAUACAACAGAUAAGUGUUAUAGGUCUAUCUUCGUCCAAACCUUGGGCAUUUUCUUUCUUGGGAAUAAAUGUAAUAAACGAAGAAUUCGCGCCUCUAGGCAUCCUAGCAUUCUCCCAAAAUUCCUUCAUCAUACUCAUGAAGUUUUUCUUCACAAUCUCCCAAUACUACUUCUUUAUGAAAAGAAGUUGAUACCAUCUAGGCCCGGGCUUUUGUCCGCCCCACAAGCUACUCAAGUGUCUCGAAAAGAUUCACAUAAGACUUCAUCAUCAUCCCUCCCAAGUGUCUCCAAGUGCACCCUAUCCAACUUUUGUUUUAUCCCCAUGUGCUCUUAGAACCUAUUUUUGAAGUAAUCCACCACCCUUUUUUCACCUUUAUUGGUUCGUCUUCCCAUCUCUCGUCCACCUCCAACCCUUUCCACUCACUUAAAUUUUUCCUCCAUUUGACCAUAGAGUGAAAAAAUUUAAGUGUUAGCAUCCCCCUCCCUACACCAUCUUACCCUAGAUUUUUGGUGAAGAUGCGAUUCAUUUCUCCUAGACACACUCCAAAACUCACCCAUAAGUGACCAUCUAUUUUGCAUCUCCACCUCAUCUAGACCUUCCGCCUCAUCAAUUACGUCUAAAGCAUUUAGUUUUUUUACUACCUCCUUGAUUUGCUUAUUAACAUCUCUAAAGCUCUCCACGUUCCACUUCUUCAAAUCAUUUUUCAACCUUUCAACCUUUCCUUAAGCACAAAAGAAGCCCACCCUUGCACUUGAUAAGAGUCCCACAAAUCCUUCACCAUCUCUAGAAACCCAUGAUCUUGGAACCAGCAAUGCAACACAUUGAAAGGCUUUGCCCCCAACCCAUAAUAGAACUUUUCAUGGUGGGCAAUGAUUCGUAAAGCUUCUAUUCAUGACAUAUUGUGUACUCCUCGGCCAUUCAUUAACCCAAUCACUUGAGACAAGCACUCGGUCGAGCCUACUUUUUGAAUGAUCAUUCACCCUAUACCAAGUGAACUUCCUUCCCACCAUAGGUAUGUCCUCCACCUCCAUAUCCCCAAUAAAUUUGUUAAAUGCCUCCAUAUCCCCAAUAAAUUUGUUAAAUGCCUCCAUAUCCCUUCCUCCCAUCAAAUUUCUUGAGUCUCUUCUUUCUUGUGUUGUCCAUGCCGAACUAAAAUCACCCAUUAGACACCAAACCCCACUCUUGCCAUUUAUUCUUGAGUUCAACAAUUUUCUCCCAAAGUUUCUUGGUCGUUUUGUUUCAUGACAUCAAGGUUCCACACGUUUGCUUCACGAAUCGAUGGAGCCUUUUUUGUUUGUGUUGGAGAUUCUAAGUCUGAGAUUACCAAAAGCAUAAACAUGCUUAUAGCCACGGAUUGAUGUUCUAUUUUUAGUUGUAUUUUCUUUCUAGGAGUUUGCUUUGUUUGUUUUGCUAAUUAAUAUUGUAACAUCCUAAAAUCAUCCAAUAAUUAUUCAAAUAAAUAGGUAGAUUGUAUAACCUUUUAAAGAGAAGUUAGUAUAAUUUUUUGAGUUAAAUAUGAUAAUAAAAAAAAAAGAGAAACGGGUGAUGGUUGGUUUUUUUAAUAAUAAUUAAAUAUAAUAAAAUAAUAUAUAAAGAAAAAUUCAUUCAAUAAAUUUUAAAUUAUGUACAACUCUUAUAUAAGGAUAAACAAUUUCUUCUCUUAAAAUCACAUAGAUGUAUAGUCUCUCUUGAUAUUAGUAGGUUGCUCAUUCUGUAGGAGGUGAGUAAACACUUAUCUUUUAAAAUUUCAAUGGUAUGAGAGUGAAUUUCAUAUUUUGAUAUAAAAUUUGAGAUCAAUAAAAUUCUAGGUAUUAUAGUAGAUUUUGGAUAUUUCCUAUUACGACUAAGUUAGCUUUUUUAUUAUGAUUUGGUUGUCAUGAUAAUUGUUUGUUGAUGCUUUUGAUCGAUGAGGGAAAACCGUAUAGUAGGUAUCAAUUCUCUUAAAUUUGGCAUGAAGUCCUUUGCUUUUAAACCCGUCCAUGGAUAACAUAUAUGGAUGCAUUUGGCUUAUAUUAGAUUAAAUUCCGAAGUUUACAAAUUACAUGACAUUAGUUGAAGAAAGAAUUACAUUUACCUGUGUAUAUAAUUGGAUUUACCUUCUGAAAUUGAAUUUAUUUUGAGUGUGACUAUGUAUUGCAUUUGAGUGAAUCAUUGUCUUCCUUUUAAUUUUUAUUGGGGUGUGUGUAUAUAUAUAUAAUAUUAUUUUAAAUUUAUUACUGAUAUUGUGGUCGAUGUUUCGAACUGUCACACAAACAAUAUUAUUUGUGGUUUUCUUUUUAGAAUUUGUUUUAUUCACUAUGUUAUUAUCUCAUUGUUAUUUUCAAAUAUUAUUUGUGAUUUUCUUUUUAGAAUUUUUUUUUAUUCACUAUAUUAUCAUCUCAUUAUAAGUGUUAUUUUCAGAUAAAAAAUUGUUGAAUUUGAGAAAACUUAAAGACAUAAUUUUGUUAGUAUUUUAGUCUAGUACUUUAAAAUAAAACGUUAAUGUAAUUAUUUUUGUUAUAUUUGUAAUGUUCAUUCAGUUUAAAUAUCCAUAAUUUGAGGAUAUUUUUAUUAUAAAGAUGAGUUGUUGUUAUAACUAAGCACAUUACAAAUACCAUGGAUUAACUUCUUUUUUUUGUUCUUUCCUAAAUCUCAAUUGCUUAAUGGGAGGAUUUGAAAUUUUGGAUGAAUUUGUUAUUUAUUUGAGAGAUUAAUUUGUUGAUUUUAGGUUAACAAUCCAUUAAUUUGAGGUUCUGAAGUUUGAAACUUUUAACGGAUUCAGAUUUGUUAUUUGGAACGAAAUGAAUAAAUCACUAGCAGGGGAGUGAAGAGUGGUGAUAGCAAGGUAGGGAUGAGCUUACAAAAUUAGGAAAAAACAAAAACGGAAAUUUUUUAUAAUCAGAAAAAGAAAUUCAAAUAUAUAUAAAACAAAAACCAGUUAAGCAAGCUUUAAUCUCAACCAUUAAAUAUUUUAUGAAUAAAUUCAAUGAUGAUAAUAGGUACUUUAUGGGUGAGAGAAAAAUUAGUACUUCACCUUAGAAUUAGACUCCUACUUUUUCUUCCAUCCCUUCUCCCGAUACCUGCCCCUUACCAUAAAAGGAGAUAGUACUGCACCACCUGUCCCCUCCGCAUUUAAUGUUUGAUCAGAGAAGUUCCACUGCGUUAAUUUCAACAACUUAACUAAUUAAAUGAUAUUGAGGGAUACACGAAAUGACCUUAAACGUUCCAAUUUACGCGACUUAGUGUGUAAGAAUCAACUAUACUUAAGCCAUAUAUUAUUAAAAAUGAAACGAUGAAAGGAAUUUUGAUAGUGUGUCCCUUUACAUAUUUAGUUUACAGGAUUAAGACAGGUUUAUCAUAUUUCAAAUUCAAUACAAAACGUCAAUGUUUUCAAAUUCAAUACCGUAUGUUACUAAUAGUCACACUAACUGAAUAAAGUCAUGAUAUAUACAAUCGAUAUUGAUUAUCCUAUUAUUUCAUUUUCAACAUUAAGGUACACCACAAAAUGUUUGUCAUUUUUUACAAAGCAAAUUAGAUGAAAUUUUUUUUAUAGAAUCUACCCUAGAAAAUAAAAUAGCACAAGCAUGUGGUUUGGGUGCGUGUUUCAGAAUAAUGAGAAUUUCCCUUAAUCUUUUUUUUUUUUUGGGUAUUGAUAUCUGACAAAAUUAAGGAAAUCAAUAGGUUUUCCAGAUUCAAUGAGAAAAUUAAAAAUUAAACCUUAUAUAAUACAAACGACGAUAUACAAAUUUAAACACACACAUGCAGUAAGAUAAUGUAGAUAAUGAGAAAAAAAAGAAAUCCUAAUUGAUUUAUCUUGAUUGAGGUACAAUAUACGAUUUGUGCCCAUUUUUUAAAAAUCACUUGAUUCUUUUUUCUUUUCCUCACUUCUCACGUUGAAUUUUUGCAUCCAAAAUCUUUGUGGAACUUCACCCUAGGUUUUUCUUUUCCACAAGAAUUACAAAAGCUCUUUAUAUCCAUUCCCAAAUACAAUAUAUAAUAGUUUUUGUUGAAAAUAAACUUAUAUAUUACCAAACAUAAAUACUUCAAAAUCAAUUACAAUUCUGGUAGCAGCUCCCCCAAUUAAGCACACAGAUACUAAACAUACCAUGAUAUAUGUGCAUGUCCACCUAACGUAGACCACUUUUGUUUUGCCAAAAAAUUCCAACCAACUCUCUCCUAAACCUUCUCACAAUCUCAUUCCACAUAAAUAUAUAAAACGUACCAAGGAUGUUCCUCAUUCUAACCAAGUUAAUCAUCAACGUGUCUUACAACACCAUGAUGAUGCAAAUGGAAACCCUCCCUCUCCUCCUCACUCUAGUAGCAACCCUAUCAGCCUACUUCCUUUGGUUCCACCUCCUCGCCCGAACCCUAACCGGGCCAAAGCCCUGGCCAUUAGUGGGGAGCCUCCCAGGCCUUUUCAGGAACCGCGAUCGAGUCCACGACUGGAUCGCGGAUAACCUCCGUGGCAGGGGAGGCUCCGCAACGUACCAGACGUGCAUCAUCCCAUUCCCUUUCUUGGCACGCAAGAAAGGGUUCUACACGGUCACGUGCCAUCCAAAGAACCUCGAGCACAUCCUCAAGACGCGCUUCGACAACUACCCAAAAGGCCCCAAGUGGCAAACCGCGUUCCAUGAUCUUUUGGGCCAAGGAAUCUUCAACAGCGAUGGCGAGACAUGGCUCAUGCAACGUAAAACCGCGGCAUUAGAGUUCACCACGCGAACGUUGAAGCAAGCCAUGUCUCGUUGGGUUAACCGAUCCAUUAAGAACCGGUUGUGGUGCAUACUUGACAAAGCGGCGAAAGAACGCGUCUCGGUGGAUUUGCAAGACCUUCUUCUGCGGUUAACCUUUGAUAAUAUUUGUGGACUCACGUUCGGCAAAGACCCAGAGACUCUUUCUCCGGAGCUACCAGAAAACCCGUUCGCUGUUGCUUUUGACACUGCCACUGAAGCCACCAUGCACAGGUUUGUAUAAUUACACAAUACACCUAAUUAAAUUUUUUUGGCAAUACUAUAGUUUUAGAGAUUUUCAUGACCGCAUUCACAACUAUAAUUUAAAACCUCAAGUAAUGUAUCCAAUAGCAAAAUUUAGACACAGUUUCUUAAUUUUCUUUACACUAUUUUUCUAUUAAACUUGAAAUUUUAUUUUAAUAUAUAAUCUAUAUUAUGAACAUUUAUUAUGCACAUUAUGUAUAUAUAUAAGGUGGAAUUUUAUUUCUAGCUGAUUGAAGAAUAAUAAUAGAGAAAGUUUACGAUAUACUUUCUAAAUUUCAAAGGUUUUGUCAAUAUCUCUCACUUUCUUAGUGUAUCAAAACUAAUUCAACAACUAUUAACAAAAGAAAAAAAAAUUGUGCCAAAUCUUUAAACCUAUGAGUACGCAACGUAACAACUCUCACAAUAAAGUUAACGAUGUUAGAUAUUUAGACACCCACAACUUAUAAAUACUUCAUCAACAUAUUUCUCUCUUUCUAUCAUAUAGUAACCAUAUAAAUAACUUAAUUUUUUUUUUUUUUUUAUAUAUAUCUCUCUAAUCAAGAUCUAAACACUUUGUAUACAAGAAUCAUUUUGCCAGUAUUAAAAACACUUAAAACAAAUGUAUCUAAGUGUUGUUGUAUAUAAAAUUAAUUCUUAAGAUUAUUAAUGCUAUUGUUUGUAUAACCACGUACAUUCACAAUUACAAUCUAGAGCUCUAUGUUAUAUAGAACUCAGAAAUUUUAAUAUAAUUAAUUAUGUACUACUAUAUAUUUUUGCUCCCCUUGUUAAACGUUUUAUGGAGUACAGGUUCCUCUACCCGGGACUAGUGUGGAGAUUCCAGAAGCUUUUGUGCAUUGGAUCGGAGAAAAAGUUAAAGGAGAGCCUCAAAGUUGUGGAAACCUACAUGAACGACGCCGUGGCGGAUCGCACAGAAGCUCCCUCCGACGACUUGCUCUCGCGUUUCAUGAAGAAGCGCGACGCCGCCGGCAGCUCCUUCUCCGCCGCGGUGCUUCAGCGCAUCGUCCUCAACUUCGUCCUCGCCGGCAGGGACACGUCAUCGGUGGCCCUCACCUGGUUCUUCUGGCUCCUCACGAACCACCCCGACGUGGAGCAAAAAAUAGUGGCUGAGAUCGCAACCGUCCUGGCCGACACGCGCGGCGGAGACCGACGCCGCUGGACGGAGGACCCUCUCGACUUCGGCGAGGCUGACAGGCUCGUGUACCUCAAGGCGGCGCUGGCCGAAACGCUGCGUUUAUACCCGUCCGUUCCGCAGGACUUCAAGCAGGCCGUGGCCGACGACGUGCUGCCGGACGGCACGGAGGUUCCGGCGGGGUCGACGGUGACGUACUCGAUAUACUCCGCGGGGAGGGUGGAAACGAUAUGGGGGAAAGAUUGCAUGGAGUUUAAACCGGAGCGAUGGCUUUCGGUUCGCGGGGACCGGUUCGAACCGCCAAAAGAUGGGUUCAAGUUCGUGGCUUUUAACGCUGGACCGAGAACUUGUUUGGGCAAGGACUUGGCUUACCUACAAAUGAAGUCCGUGGCUGCUGCUGUGCUUCUGCGUUACCGGCUAUCGCUGGUUCCCGGUCACCGGGUGGAACAGAAGAUGUCUCUCACUUUGUUCAUGAAGAAUGGGCUCAGGGUGUUCUUGCAUCCACGUAAGCUAGAAAGUGGGCCCGGGGUUGCCACCUCACCUUAAAGCGAGGGUCUUUUCGUCAUUGUGCUGCAGAAUUAAGAGAGUAUAAUCAAUAGUGGCAAUAUGGUCAUUCGGUGGUUCGUUUGAGAGUGUGUAUGUAUUUAUUUAUGUUCAUUUUAUGUUUGGAAUUAGGGUGUUGUGUAACUGUAAUUUGUGUAUCACUCUUUAUGUUUCAUUUUUUUUUCGAAAAUAAAAAAAAAGUGUGUUGAAAAAAUUGUUUUCAUUGUCUGAAAAUAAAUUAUAGGAGUAUACAUUUCAAUGUAAAUUUAUGAUUGAAAUUAAUUUAUAUAUAACUUUUAAUUAAAAUUAAUUUACAGGUAAUUCAAUUUUUUUAAAAAAAAUUAAUUAAACAAAUUAUUAAAAAAGAUACCUUAAUUUAUUUAAAAAGCUAAAAAAAAUUAUAAGUUUAUUUAAAAAUAUAUUUAAUUAAUAUAUCAACGCUUUAUAAUAAUACUUUUUUAAUUUAAGAAAAAGAGUAGGAUUUUAAAACCCGGCUAGAUAAAAAAUAAAAAAAUAAAAAAAGUCAAUCAAUUGCUCCUUAAUUCAUUUUCUUAGCAGUAACAAAAAAUGUAUAUUUUUUAGUGUUCAAACAUUUUUUUAGGUACGAUAUAUGAUGUGAUGAAAAGAAGAAAAAUAUUAAAAAAAAAUGUUAAUGGAGUGCGUGAAAAAAUGAAGUGUGGAAACAUCAUUGUUGAUAUGGUUAUUUUUUUCCUAACUCCUAAACUUGAGAAUAUUAACUGCGUCAAAGGAGUAGAUACCAAAAUUCUACUCCUCGUCAUUAAAGAGUUACCAAAAUUCUACCUAACAUUUCAAUGUUCAGAGAACUUGAGCAACAAUGAAAAUCAAUCAAAAGGACUUAACCGAAAGAGUAGUUAAGCAAAAUCAGUAGAUCCCAUGCAAAUAGCAUAGCAACUUAAGAAAUCCAAAUUAAAAUUGCUAUGACCUUAUUUCAAAAUACGUGCCACAUUCAAUAGCUCAGUUCUCUUAUCAGAAUGAAAAACAUCAUUUGAACUAAGAAGAAACAAACUCUAUCAAAUCCAUCUCUCCUUUAACUUCUGAACAACCUUGAUGUCGAAAAUCCAUUUUGAUUCCCAUAACCAGGUGCCACGUUGAACAAGUGAGAGAGAUGGAGAUCCGAAGGUAGAUAACUUAUGUGGGUAGGAUGAGUCUCUCUAGGGAAGAGACUAGCAUCAUUCAAGUGCAUGUUAAUGUUAUUAAUAUCUAGGUAUUGGAGGGAAUACUCACACUCACCCACAUCAUCAACAUUCAUUUGACAAUAAUCCAAGUAUGAGGUUGAAGGCAUCUUAGAGUGCUUAGAGACUUCAACAUUCUCCUUGAAAAUUUGUUUCAUGAAGAGUAGAUCAUUAGCCAAAGGUUCAUAGAACACGGGGUGUAAAGGGUUUGCAGCAUUGUCCUGUGAGAGUGUUGUGUGGAUGGUAUCUGUGGCAGUGAUGAUGCCAGGUGUGGGGUUGCUACUAGUUGUUUGAUUCUGGCUUCUGAUGUAGUCUUCAAGUAUAGAGGAAUGUGGCUUUCUAUUAAUAGAGCUUUUUGUCUUCUUGUUCUUUCUCUUUGAAUUCUGUCUCCUUAUGGUGGCAUUCCAAUGGUUCUUUAUGGCAUUCUCUGAUCUUCCUGUAAUGUGUUUUGCAAUCUCACACCAACGAUUUCCGAGCCUCGCAUGGGUGUCUACUAGUAUCCUCUCUUCUUCUUCACUCCAACUAUCUUUCUGAUAAAAGUUUAGUAGCCAAGGAAAAUGGAUAACAAGUUUAAAUGUUACAUUAUGACUGAAAUUUAUAGAGCAACACAAAAUCAAUCAAAUGAAAAUUAUAUAUAUAUAUAUAUAUAUAUAUAUAUAUAUAUAUAUAUAUAUAUAUAUAUAUAUAUGUUGUAAACUUAUAUGAAAAAAUUAAUAAUAUAUAUUUGUGACCGAUGAAAAAAUGCACCAACUUUGUUGUGGUUCUCUAGUGUGAACAAGAUUCAUGGUCAUGUGCAACUAAUCAUAGGGUGUUAGUAUUAAGCAUAUUAAUUAGCAAACCUUAAUAUCAGGACGUAAAUGAUUAUUCCAUCUUUCUCGACACUGCUUACCAACCCUUCCCUCCAACUUCUCAGCUAUUUCAGCCCAUUUUCUUUCACCAUAUUGCUUCACCAACCUUAUCAGUUUCCUUCAGUUAUACCAAAUAAAAACCAACUUAAAAGCUUAUAGUACAAGUGUAUAUUAACAAGAAUUAUUCAAACAAGAGCAUAUAAAAAAUACAAAAAUAAUGGAUCUAGCCUUAUCUUAAUGUAUUCAACCUGUCCUCUUCUUUAUUCCACUGUCCUUUGAUCCAACACACAGGAGACUGUUUUUUCUUGCUUCUCCUUCCCACCACUUUCGCAUUCUUACCUAAAACAUGCAUACCUUUCGGGCACAAUGUAGGGGUUUGGUUGAUGUGUGUCCACUUAUUAUUAAAAGCCUCCUCAUCAGCAAAAACAUUUGCAGCAUUGUAAUUCCUUGCAUGUUGUUGCUGGUGAGGAAAGUGGCCACAUAAGAACCUAUCUAUGCCUAUGGCUGUCAAAGGAGGGUUGUUGCUAGCGUUUAUAACUUCACACCCAUAAAUUUGGAAGCCAUUAUUGUCACCACCUUGACUUCCUCCUCUGACCAUGAAAUCCAUGAAAGGAGACUAAAUCAAGGAAAGUAUUGUUUGUGUGCAGGUGUAAAGGUUAUUUAUUUGGUGAAAAAAUGGUUGACAAACACUGAAGCUUAUGCCAAGCCACGGGAAUUAAUUUUGAUAGUGUAACUCCUAAAAUUAAUUAUGGACAAAUUAAAAGGGUGUGGAGAGGGAUUAGUGGGUGCUGACGUGCUGUUAAUCCAUUUUAUUUACUUACAAAUUAAUUUUUUUAUUAGAUUUAAAUGAUAUUGAAUUAUUACUUAAUAUCAUCUUAAUAGACUAAUUAAUUUCAUUCAUAUAAAUUUCAGUUUAUUUUCAAUUAUGAGUCAUUAAUUAUGAUAUAAUUUUUUUAAAAAUAUUUUUUUGCUUGUUUUUAAUUAUUUUUUAACUCUGUUUUUAAGUUUUUUAGUAUCACAUAUUGUGAUUUCUAUAUUAUUAGUUAGUCUAAGUAAAAUAUUACUAGGCUUGAAUAUUUUAUGACGUUAAAUUACUUUCUUGAAAAUUAAAAUAAAACUAAAUUAUAUCUCAGGAGCUUAGGAGUGUAAGCGGGGGACGUGAAUCUACUAAAUCAAAUUCCCUCCAAUUAAAAUUUUAUAAGUUAGGUUAAGUUUAUUUUUAGUGUAAUAAAUUAUAAUUAAUUUAGUAAUGGAUUCACGAGUUGUAAAUCUGACUUAACUCAAUUACAUAAUAAUAAUAUAUUAAUCGUCUAAUUCUAUGUAUCAUGUAUAAAAUUUAAAUGAUUAUUUUAUUAUUGUUAUUUUGACUUUUCGGUAUUGUGAUAUGUAAAACAAUUAUAUAUUUUAUGGAUACUAAAACUAUGAUUAUAAAAUAGUUGUAUGUUUUAUGACGAUGAGUUAUAUAUAGAAUAGUUUUAUGAAUACUAUAUAACUUUUAGUAUUUUGAGAAGUAUUGUUUGUGUGUAACAUGUACUGUAGUUGAAUUAUAAGAAUUAAAAAAAUUGAAAUAAUAUUAAUUUUGAGGUUUUUAAUUAGUCAUUAUUAAUAAAUAAAGUUUAAUAUAUUAGUAGGUUCUUAAAUUUCUUGAAAAAUUUGAGUUUAUUCUUUAAAUUAAUAAAAUGUAAUUAAGUUAUUGAUUUUGUAAAAAAAUUGUAAUUGGGUCCUUGAAAAUAAUUUAUGAUGACUUAAAAUCGUUAGAAAAAUAAUGAUUUGUGUCAAUUUUACUAACUCUAAAAAUUUAAUUAUAAAAAUUGUACGUAGAAAAUUAAGGACCUAAUUAUAAUUUUUUUUAAUUUAAGAAUCUGAUUAAAAAAUUCUAAAACUUUGAAGACCUACUUAUCUAUUAAACUUUAAAAUGACAAUAGAUGUUAGGGGUGAUGAAAUAUAAUAAUUGAGGGUUUAAGAUUAUCUAUGAGAUUCUUUCAGACAAAUUUUGAAAAUUGUUUAAUGUGGCUGAUUAAGGAUCGAAGAAAUUCAUGCUAUUUUAUGACUAUAAAAGAGUUUUGAUGAGUCAUGCUUGUAAUAAUUAUAUAUAAAUAAUUUUUUAUAAUAUUUUCAAAUAUUCUUAAAGUUGUUUAUAUUCUUCCAUUAUUAACGAUUUUAAGUUAUAGAAUAAUUAUAAAAUAACAUUAUAAUUGAAUGUAAUAUUUAUGAUUAUGAUGACAUAAAUAAUGAUGAAUAAUUUCAAGCAUAAUUAUUUGGAGUAGAUAUUUCACACUAACAUCAUGUUAAAAAAAUGUCAAUUGCUUUAUAAAUACCUAUGAUCUAUACUAAGAGGUUUAGUAUUUUCUUUGGGCCCAUAGGUCCCAGGAUCGAAACCUGGUUCUGAUACCAUUCGGUUGAAUUGUUCCCUUGAUGGUUUAUAAAUACCUAUUAUCUCUGUAUAUCCGUUAUGUUGUUGAGUCAUACCCAAGGCAUUAAGCAUCUCAAGAUAACUUUGAUGCAAGAUAUCUACAGACCAUAGGGAUAACCCAUCAAUUGAUAUCAAUAUUCGGUGUUCUGAUACACAAGAUCCUUCAAAAAAGCGAGUGUAGAGCAUACUAGGUGGUGGUGAGAGUUUCAAAUGAUAAUCAUUAUAUAACUCAGAGUUUCAAAGAAGAAGAAUUUUAGAAGAGAGUCAUCUUAGUAAGAAGAAAGUAUUAUUCGAUUCAGUGUGCCUCAACAUAUAGACUUAUCCCCUUUAUACAGGAGGGAGGGGAAUGGACACUAACAUACAAAGUCUUACCCGGAAAAGGAUAAGAUUAUUACAACAAGAGAUAACAUAAAAUCUACUUUAUUAAAGAUAAGAUAAGGCUGAAUAGACUCAAGAUAAGACAACUUCUAAACGACUGACACGUGACACACGAUGACGAGGAUAGGAUUACGGUUAUCCUUAUCCUAAAUAUUACUCUCUCUACAACACACCUUUAUACAAGAUUUAUUCAGCAGUCACUAGUCUCAUCUGGUGGAUAAUAACAAGUUGUAAUAUUGUACCUCUGACCUGGUGAGACUUUCGUAUGCUGGGUGAUGAUAAGGAUAUCACUUUUUGUGUAACAAUUCCUUCAUCAAUUAAGCACUGUAGUCUUCCCAGUCUCGUUCUAAUGCAGAAUAGUCAUCAACCAAAUCUUCUACCUUUUGAAACUCAGGUUCUGGAACAUAAAUCUCUGUUCGGAUUUGACCUUCAUUAGUAUUCUGAAGUAUUAUUCUAUCACUAGGAUAACUAUCCCUUGGCCUUUGGGAUGAACUUGGUAGAUUUGGAUCCAAAGGUCUGUAUGAGUCAUUGUUAACUUCACAAAGAUGUCUUGCAAGUUGGUUCAGAUAGCUUUCUUCCAAGAGAUAUACUUCAAAAGUUUUCCAAAUUUGAGCUUCAUUUCUAGACCAGAGUUGUCAUUACUCCAUAAAGUAAGGAUGGUGAAUAAUCACAAUAGAAACUAAUUUUCAUGUGAUCUUCUGAGAUAUCCAUUGAGCUUCAUACGUCACCAUGCUAAAGGAGAAAACCACCCUAACAUUGUCCAUAAAAGAUAUUCAUCUUUAUAUGAAUAUGUCAAGAUGUUAUAUGUCAUAAAAGGUUUUAGAGCAACAGGGAUUGAAUAUUGUACUAUUACACCAAAUGGCCCAUAUGAUUGGUUUACACAAAUCAUAUCCAAUCUCACAGAACACUUCAAAUAUAACUCCAAAGGAUAUCUAAGGGUCAAAUAUUUGUGCAGGAGUAUAUUUGAAUCUCAAUGGGUAUCUAAUAGGUAUUUAUAAAUUAAGAUCUCAUUUUAAGUAUAAUAUAUAUAUAUAUAUAUAUAUAUAUAUAUAUAUAUAUAUAUAUAUAUAUAUAAUGGAUAAAGGCAAUACAAGAUAUUGUAAUGAUUUGUUGGUCUCCAUUGCUACUUUUCCAUUUCUGUCCUUAAUAUGCAUUUAUAAUAAAUAAAUAAAUAAAGAUAUGUAAAUCUACUAUUUAUUCUCCACUUUUUUCAGAAAAACCUUUAUCGUCACUUCUACUCACUCUCUCACUAGAAGUUACACGAUUUUUCAAACAUUUUUUCUCACCACUCACUUCAGGUAUGUGCAACUGAUCGUAUUUUAACUAAAUAAUAUUUUCUCUAUUUCCAUUUUUUACUGUGCAUAUAUUUGUCCACAAUUCUGAUGUUGUAAGUUUUAACCUCUUUCCCAUGACCCAUUAUUCUAUUUCAUUAACCGCACAAAUGACUCUUCCAUUAGCAAUUGUGUAUUUAUCAGUUAGUUUCUUUCUUUCUCCACUAUCUCUCCAUGCACAAUGCAUACAAUUCAUUUCUAUAUUAUUAUAUAUCUUUCUUCCUCCAUAUUCCACAAUACCUUUGGUGUAAUAUUAUUGAAGGAAAGCAUUUUCAAUUUUUUAAGGACACCUGCACUUUUAGUAAUAUUGUUUGAAUACUUCCUUACAAUUUAUUUAAUUAUUGAAUGAUUUCAGACCAAAUUAUUUAAUUAACUCCUUUCACCCAUUUUUUUCUUAAUUCUUUUUCAAAAUAAUUUAUUGAUAUUUGUUUUUGUUAAUUUCUUAAUUUUUUCAUGUGUGAUUCGAACUCGAGUGGUGAUGGAGACGAUUUUACAAGCAACGUGAAAAGGCUCAUAAUUGAUUUGGUCACCAUUUGAAGGAAAAGAGUGUGAAAGAGUGAGGUAAGAGUUGAGAGUUGCGAGUAGACGAAGACAAUCGUCAUCAGGUAAUAACUAUUUACUAUUUUGUAUUCACGGUUUCUUUUUCAUAAAAUUUUACUCUUCAAAAUUAUGAAUUAUUAUCAACAAUUUAUUCUCUGUAAAAUUUCAAAUUAUUAUCAGACAAGGGUGAAGGUUGAAGGGUGAUAUCUCCUCUUCAAUUUAGUAUGAGUCAGUAGGGGGUGCAUGAGGCAGAUUCAACUUUUUCAAUUCCAGGAAGUCGUGCAUUCGAGCCUGGGCAGAUUUGGUGACCAAUAUUAUCAAAGAUAGUAUAUCUAUUCUCAUGGACAUGGAGAUUGUGAUAAUAUGCCAUUCUACAGGUAUUUUGAUGGAAUACUUUGAAAUGCAAUUGAAUUUAAUGAUUAUUCAUUUUAAUUUGCAAUUGAUUCUGUUCUUAUUUAUGUUUGUUCUUUCUUUUCAAUGAAUAAAAAAUAUUCUUUUUGAGUUUUUAAAAUCUACCGAUCAACAAUAAAAUAAUUUUAUAAUCCAUUAUUGUUGCCCUUCAUGUUUUUCAAAUUUAUAAUAAUCAAUUACUUUUCUUCUUCUCUUUAACAUAUAAUAGAAAUAUUGUUUCUAAUCUUUUAAUUAUUCAUUUUCAUUGUUAUGGCAGAUAUAUAUCUAUUAUUUUAACAAAGAUGGUUAAAGAUAAGUAUUUUUGGUAGCUGAAAUGAUAUAGAACUAAAAGAUAUAAUAAUGAAUUUCAGAAGUAUACUCUCUAGCAAAGAAGGAACAAAUAUUAUAAAUGAGAGGUAUGUGCAAUUUUGUGUAGUAUAUUUUAAAAAAAUAUGAUUUUUAUGCAUUCCGAAUUAAACUAAGGUAUCUAUUCCUAAACAAAGGUAACUAAUUGAAAGAAAAAAGAAAUCUUGGUUUGCCAAAGAUAAUCAAUGGCAACCCUUCAAUGGAGACAAUCAACAUGAAUCUUGGUGCGUUAUUGAAGAAAGUUGGAAUGAUUUAGAUAAUAGAUAAGAUUUUUCAGUGUAAUAUUUUAUUAAUUUUUCUUUUUACAUUCUAUUUUUGUUUUAGAUACCUAUAUCAUGUAUUGAAUAUAAUCAAUUAGUGUAUCUUAUUGCUUUGACUUGACAUGUUAUUUGUGUUUUUAUUAAAUUUAUUUACCAAUUAUAUCUUUUUACAAUUCUCUCCAUCUUCUUAGCUUUUAUUUCGAUUCCUUUGUAGAAAAAGAUACAUGAAAAUUAAAGUUUUCUCUUUUUGGGGUGUACUUCUUUUACCCAUUAUUUUAUCUUUAUUUUGAAUUUAAUUGUUAAGUUAAAAGAACAGGAUAAUUAGAUAAAGAUUGGAGGUUAAUUAACCGUGUAUUGAAAGUAGUAUUUUAGGAGAAAUCUACUAAAAAUUAAAAAUGAUUAAUUAACUAUGUGAGUAAAUAUAUAACUACGAAUAAAUAACAGUUGCAGUAAGAUAUAUAUAUAUAUAGCAUGAGAGUAUGUAAUAAUUGCAGGAUAAAAAUUAUACAUAAAAUCCUUUAAACUUAUGAUAAUAAUAAUAAUUUUUAAUAUUAUCAAUAAUAUUUUUGAAGUGAUAUUUACAUGAAAUUCGAGAUGAAGUAAUAUUUUGUCUAUAUAACAUAAAAACUGAAGCAAAACUUGGUACACAUAAAUUAAAUAUUAGAUCAAGAGAUAUUAUCACAACUUUUUAUUAAUAUAAAAAUGUGAACAAACAAGCACUAAAAUAAAUAAUUAAUAUACAUCUUAAUAUAAUCAAAUAAGCAAAAGAGAUAGAAGGUGAGCGAAAUAUAGUAUAAAUGGAUGGAAAUACAGACGUACAGACACGGCGACACUUACAUUUUUACUGAUAUAUAUAUAUAUAUAUAUAUAUAUAUCAAGACUCAAAUAGAGAUAAUUAAUUAAGCUGAAAACAAUGCACCUACUUGAUCCACACAUUUUGUGGUCAAUUUUUCUCUUGUCCAGUGGAUCAUACUUUUUCAUAGAAGAUACAGAAACAUAAAUUUCUCCACGUCACGAGUAUCUGUGAUACCGUACGAGCACGUAAAGUUUUAAUUCUUUGUCCUACUUAAGACGAUCGUGAUUUUUUAGUAAAUAUAUUUUUCUCUUGUUUAUUUUUAAUCUAUAUAAUUUAAUUCUCAAUAUAUAUUAUUGACAUUUUUUUUAUUUUUUAUUUUUUUAAUUUAAAAUAUUAUAAAAUAUAAAUAUUAUAUUACAUAACUUUUUUAAUUGUUUUAAAAUUACUUAUUUAUUAAAUUAAAUUUUAUAAUUUUGUUUUUUAAUUUUUUUUAAAGAAAAUGAUAUUAUUAAAUAUAAUUAUUUUUGUUUUAUUAUUUAAUUUAUUUAACAUAUUUUUUAGGUGAAUAAUUUUAUUUAAAAUCUAAAUUUUCUAAUAUAAUUAUAUUAAAAAAUAUAAUUAAUUUAUUUAUGUCAUCAGAUUUAAUUAAAAAUGAGAAGACUUGAUGUUUAACAACUUAUUUAUAGAAGAACAUUAUAUUACAUUAUCAAUAAAAUACUUAAUCAAUUACACUUGACUAAAAAGAAAAACUUAAAAUAAAGAUAUGUUAGGACAAUUGUUUCUGUCAUGUCAUGUUGCCGAUAAAUUUUACAUCUUUUUUUUUUUAUUUUCUCAUUCAUUUAUUUUUUUAUUUUCUCAUUCAUUUACUUCUUUGUCUAUACGGGACUACCCUUUACCGUCAUCUCCCUCCUUGACGAGGACUUGGACGAGGACCCCCAUAGGAUUAGGACCUUUUAUCAUUCUGUUUCUCCUUACAGUCAUCUUCAAUAUAUUUUUGUUAUAAAAAAUAGUUCAUAUUUAACAUUUAUCAGUAUCUUUCGGAUAUUUUAAUCUUUUCUUUUUAUAUAUGUAAGUCAUAAAUAAUAAAAAUAUCAACUCUUAUCACUUAAGCUAGAAAUAAUUGCUAAAUAAAUAUUUUUAAAGAUAUUUUGAAUAUAAUAGUUACUAUUCUUUGAGAUUUUAUGUCUACUGCAUAAGAUAGAUGUAUCAAUUAUUUGUUUACUGUGUUCUUUAAUUUAUUUUAAUAUUACUAACUAAUUUUUUUUAAUUAACAAACAUAACAAAAAAAUAUCAAUAACACAUAAAUUUAACUACAAAAAUAUAUACAAAAUAACUAAAAAAAUAUACUCUAAUUUUAUCCAAUUUUUUUAUUUUUCUUUAUCUGUAUAUUUUUUCUUUAAAAAAAUAAAAAACAAAAUUAUAAAAUUUUAAAUUUAAUAAAUAAGUAAUUUUAAAAUCAAUUAAAAGAAUUAUAUAAUAUAAUAUUUUAAAUUUAAAAAGAAAACAAAAAAAUAAGAGAAAAAAUCCCAAGUAGUGUAUAUUAAAAAUUAAAUUAUAAAGUAAUGUAAAUUGAAAAAAAAAAUAGAAAAGAAAAAAAUAUAUUUACGAAAAAAACCACGAUCGUUUAUAUUUUAACAAUUACAGGUUUUAAAUGUUCAGUCAUUAAUAUUUUUUUUUCUUUAUGUCUCUUUCCUAAUCAUAUUCCAUCCUCAAUUAAAUCAAUUAUUUAUUUUCAUUUUUUCCUUUUUCUCUUAUAUAACUAAAGAAUUAUCUAAGUAACAUUUUUCAUUUAACACACACCACCCAAUUGCAAGUUUUGCUUAAUCAAAUUCUCUUCAUAGUCAUACAUCAUCAUAAAUGAAUAAAUAAAUAAAUAUAAAUAUAUGCCAUCGAUUUCUGUGUCUUGUUUCUUUUUCUAUUCUGACUUUAUGUGUCUCAUAUGUGCGCCUUCUCUGUGCUAUAUUCAUCUCAGUUCAAAGGUUUGUUUCUCUCCUAUUAUCGAUUUGCCUAACUUGUAUUGUUUUUUGUCGAAACCAUCACACUUUACAACUCAACUAUUAUGAUUUUCCUGUUGUUUAUCCCUUCAUCUUAUUCAUCUUUCAUGGAGGACCACACCCCAUUUCUCUAGCACUGAUUAAACAAUAAUCUUUGAUUUUUUUGGUCCUCCGGUCAUCCUUGAUGUGUUCACAGGAGGUAUGCUCUGGUAUUUUAUAUGACUUAAUUAGUUCAUUUUAAAUGAAUUUAAUUUAAUUUACCAAAUUCAGUAAUGAAAUUGAAUCAGCUAAAUUCAACCAUGUAUGAGGUUUCUUGUAGAAUUAGCAUGCAGCCAACCAUAUGCUUCUUAGAAUCUUAGUGACAACCUGUAGAUGAAGUGUGUCAUAUCUUUAUCAUUUGUUGUUUCUGUUAACUGAUGAUGAUCUACUCUGUAAGUUGUAACUGUAAUAUAGUAACAUUCCUUAUUUCAUGUUCCUCUUCCAACCCUAAUUGCUUUAUCUUUCUGGUCAUCCAGUGGCUAGUAUAGAAGAACCAUAAGCACUGAGGGAAAAAGUGAUUAGUACUUUAGCCAACAAAUUAAAAAUGGCUGUCACCAAGGUCUACAUUGUGUAAGUAUAUUUUCCACUGCUACUUGUUGCAUUUUCUUUAUCGUGCUGAAUGCAGAUAUUCCAACUCAACUACUCAAGCAUUCAUCAACCAUAAAUUUGAAUUUGAUGGUGUUAUGACCCUUUUGAUCACAUCAAUUUUUGCAGGUAUUACUCCUUAUAUGGACAUGUAGACACCAUGGCUAGAGAAGUACACAGAGGGGCUGCUACAGUUGAAGGUGUUGAAGCAACACUUUGGAGGGUAAUUAAUUUUUUCAAUCAGUUAGGGUGUGGAAGUGUGCAGCAAAUAUUUGGAUGAUGGGGUCCAGUGAUUUUAAAUUGCGGUUGUGGUUGCACUGUAAUUGGCAAAAUUGCAGACAAAUGUAGCAGCAAUUGCAUGCCCUAUGUGUUAUAGAGACCCCAAAAACCACAAUAAUUAGGCUGCAAUUGCAGUUGUGAAUACCAAUCUUUUCAAUUGGGUCUCUUCUCAGUUAGGACCCUUACAAUCUUGGUUAAUAGUUUAUUUUUGGUUUUCUGAAAACAGGUACCUGAGAUGCUUUCGGAACUAAUAUUGGAUAAGUUGAAGGCCCCUCCUAAACCAAAUGAUGUACCAGACAUAAUGCCAGAACAACUUGUGGAGGCUGAUGGUUUGAUAUUUGGUUUUCCUUCUCGUUUUGGGAUGAUGCCGAGCCAGCUCAAGGCCUUCUUUGAUGCAACUAGUGAGCUAUGGGCAUCCCAAGCACUUGCCGGCAAACCUGCUGGAAUCUUCUGGAGUACUGGUUUUUAUGGUGGAGGCCAAGAACUAUCAGCGUAAGUAUCACCUUGAAAUUUUCUCAAAAUGUUUAAUUUGGUUCUUCUCACAUUAAUAGAAAAGAAAACAACCAUUUUUCUGUAACAUUGUAGUAUUAAUGUUAAUAAAUUGGAUCCGUCCUCAAUACAAUUAUCGAUCAUGCAUUAGAGCUAGGUGUCAUUGCUUGGCUUGACUUUCUAUAAUGUGAAUCGCUAGCAGUAUGAAUUAAUUGCAUCAAUAAGUCUCAUAUGGUUUCUGUUAUGAAUUAUGAUCAUACAGGGUUAUGGCCACUUGAUUUUAGUUUUCACUUCAGUUUCCUGGUUAUGUCUUGGUUGCAGAUUGACAGCUAUAACUCAAUUAGCUCAUCAUGGUAUGCUUUUUGUUCCUCUUGGAUACACCUUUGGAAGUGGCAUGUUUGAGAUAGAUGAGGUAAAAGGAGGAUCUGCAUAUGGUGCUGGAACUUUUGCAGGAGAUGGAUCUCGUCAACCUACAGAACUAGAACUGCAGCAGGCAUUUUACCAGGGUAAAUAUCUUGCCGAAGUAACAAAAAAGCUGAAAAGCUAACUUCUCUGCCUAACAAAUACAUGACAGGAUACUAUGAACUGUGAUGUGCUACAUUAUCUAUAACAUUUGAUUGAAGACUCGAUGAUUAUUUUUACCGGUAAGACAAGAUAGAAAGACCUCAUGUGGCUUUUCUUUUUCUGGGUUCUGUUGUUGCAACAAUGUAUAUCUUCUGUUAUCUCUUUCAGAAAACUCUCAAAUUAUUCCAAUGAAAUGAUAAACAAGAUAUUCAGUAUUUCCAAAGGCGGAAGAAAAAUGUACACAUUUUCAGAAUUGUGUGUGUGUGUGUGAAUUAUUAAAAUCUUUUACAGGGAAAUAUUGCUUAAUCCAUUUAGAGAAUAGUAGUUUUAUUGUCUGAAAUUGAGGAGUCUCCUUGGCUCUUCGCUGAUGUAGACAUUCUAAUGAGAUUAUUCUUGGGCAAUCUUUGUUAAGUAGGUGAAAACAGGGCUAAUCAAUCAUGGCAACCGUUAAAUAAAAUUACCUAUCUUUCAUUUCAUUAUGAUUUAAUUCCCUACGUGAUAUCAUAAUUCUGUCACUGUUCUUGUAGAACUUCAUUUUAAGGUCUGUAAUGGUUUCGUUUGAUCAUCAUGGCUUCAAAAACGUCAUCUCUUUCAAAUGAUUAACAUAAAUUUUUCCAGGAUCCUCUUCUGACUAUUAAGAUCAAAUCUUAAAAAUUAAAUAAUCAUAACAAUUUGGCGGAGUUUAGCAGCUUCAGCACGAAAUAGAAUCAUUUAGGACAUGACUAUCAAUAACUGAAGUUCACAACCAAAUAGUAACCAAAACUCUUGCAUUUUUUUGUCUCUUGCUAUAUGUCCCCAACUUCUUUUGAGCGCGGGACUGAUUUUUGCGUAUCUAAUUGCUUGGCCUAAUAUUGUUGGUGAGACUUAGAAUGCAUUCCAAGCUUGUUGAAAAAUAAAACUAGUAUCAAAUUAGCAUAGUACAAGUAAUUGAGUUAUAACAUUUUUUUUUCAAUUUAGAGAGCAUUACUUUUGGGUGCAACCGAAGAGAGUUGUUUACGCAUAUAUUUUAUAAUUUAAGCAUGGUCUUUCCUUUUUUUCUUGAAAAGCAUUUAAGCAUGGUCGUCACUAUUAAAUAUGAAUUAGUUUUAGUAGAAUCAUACCAAAUUGCAACCAACAAAGAUCAACGACCAAUUUGCAUGCAGUAGAAGGGAUUAUAAUGGAUGUAUAACUCUAGCGAAAUAUUAUUUUGUUCUGAAACUAUUCAAUGUUUUAUCCUUGUGUUGUGCUGGAUAGUUUAUCAUCCCUUAACAGUGCAUUGGUAUCUUUAUACUCAUUGGAUGAAUUGUUAAAAGCUAACUAACAACUUUAAUUUUAGGAUUACUCACAUAUACCGUGAAGGCAAUGCUUGUGCUAACAUGCUUGUUUCAUAUGGUGCACAGUCUUUUAGGUAUACUUGGUGGGAUUCUCCACCAUCUUUUGUUGAUCAAGAGCUUCUUAGGUACAGGCUAGGGCUUCUUUUUUAUGGGUUUCCUUAGUCUCUUCUUUUGGGUUCGGUUUGGCCCCCUCAAUUGUACUGUUUCUCUCAGUUUUAUAAUAUUAAUAUAUUUAGUGAUGGUGUUUUUGGAGUUUAGGGGUUGCGGUGCCAACAUAGUUGGGAUGCCAACCUCUUUUGUUCCUUAUCCUCUACCAUAUCUUUUGCCGUUUUAAGACAAGCAAGCCAAUCUAUUUGAAACUCAAUAACUUGUUAAUUGUAUUGUGCUGGAUAGUUUAUCAUACCUAAUAAAGCUAAUGCACAAAUAAUAAGUGUUUAUGUGGCUGAAUAAGAAUGUUGAAAUGACACUAUAUCAGUCCACAUUUUAGAAUUUAUAAAUAGAUGCUUCAAAGCAAUUUCAAAUUGAAUUAUCUUUAUAUAACAGAAAAACAGAAGAUCGUAAUACGUAUCAUUUGAUUCCAAUAAUAAACAAAUUUUUCAAGUAAAAUGCUGAUAGUUAUAAACUGGUAUACGAAAACUCUUACUCAAAUGCAUGAUAUUCACGCCCGGCCUCAAGCUACAGAGAAGGUCAGAUGCAUGUUGACUCAUGCCAAAGUACUCAAAUAUUUUUUGGGGGUGAAAGUGUGAAAACAGCAGUUGGUUUGAUAAAUCUCUCGCCAUCAAGACCUGUGGGUGGAAAGAUUCCAUAGGAAAAUAUGGUCUAGAAAAAAUGCAUUUUACAACCACUUGAAAGUAUUUGGAUGCCGAAGCUUUGAGCACAUUCUCAAGGAUGAGAGAAUGCAGUUGGAUGCUAAAGCCAAGGAAUGAAAGUAUUUUGGUUCUCCAAAUGAUAAUUUUGGCUAUUGUAUUUGGAAUAAGAAUCUCUCACAAUCAAACGAUUAAAAAGUUUGAGCAAAUAAGAACUUAGAAGCCUCAAACUAAACCAACAAGAUAUGGUGUGGUUGAGAGAUAAUCUUGUCCCUUAAGCAAGUUAUCAGAAAUUUAAUCUCUAUCCAUGCGUAUGAAAAAACAUUUGUCAUAAGAAAUUAGUCCUUUAAAUGUAUGUCAGUACCUCAAAUAAUUCGUCCUUCGCUGAGAGCCAAGGGAUACCCCAUGUUCAACAAAAAAAAAGGCUCAAACUAAUUGGAAUGAUAGUCAAAUUCCUAUGGUACACACUAACAACUUAAGCUCAUAAACUUGGUUAUUAUUUACAACCGUCACAAUCCAAAAAAAAUGAAAUUAAAAUUUUUUAUUAAGAGGAACAAAAAUACUUGCAUCAUUUGGAUCUUUUUCAAUCAUCAGAGAGGAAAACGUAUCAAAUGAAAAAUAUUGAAAAAUUAUACUCAAUACAGUCUAAAUAUUCACUUUAAGCAUAUUCAUUCCUAAAUUAUAAAGAAAAUACAAAGAACAAUCAGCAGUGAAGACAAUCCGUUAAGAAAGCUUUGGCAAGAAAGGACAUGGACAAUGUUUGGUUUAUCAUAAUAAACUUGACUCAUAUGGUACACUUCCAGCUUUUGCUUGUGGUAUUGUUGUUGGGUUGGGUUACAAGUGUGAGGUGAAGUCCCACAUCGGGUAAAAGUGGAAAGGUUGAACACCAUAUAAGUGAGGAGAAGACCCAUAAACCUGAGCCUUAAGGUUUUGGGUUAGAGUGUGGUGUCAGGUCUCCUUAUGUGGUGACUCGUGGUCCACAAGUGUUAUUAUCACUAGCAACAAAUCAAGAUUGAUCACUUCUUCAAUUCGAUGUAAAAAAUACUUUUUUUAUAUGGAGAUUUAAUGAAAGAAGUUUAUCAUCAAGGGUGUGUUGACUAAAAGAGAUUAAAAAUACCAUAGUGGAUAGUAACAAAUAACAAAAUAUACCAACCAUCGGCAUUGUUUAUCAUCAGGGGGCAGAACACGAGCAUUUACUGAAACCCAUUUGAGUAGUCACUUCAAUAUGAUCUCAAAGGUAUAAAAAAAUGUUGUUUAUCAUCAAGGGGGCAGAACAGGAGCAUUUACUGAAACCCAUUUGAGUAGUCACUUCAAUAUGAUCUCAAAGGUAUAAAAAAAUGUUGAACCCCAAAAACGAAGAAAAAAAUCCAUUUAAUAAUAAAAAAAGAGCGACAGACAGGUGUGCCAACAAAGCAAAACCAAUGAAAGAGAAAGAAAAAAAUAAAAAUUCAAAUUACUGAAUUGGUGUUUUUGUCGCAAGUUUUGCAUAGCACUGCCAAUGAAAGAGAGAAAAUAAAAAAUAAAAAAUUCAGGUUCUCAAAAACUGUACGCAACUAGAAACAAUGGCUGAGAUGAAGAAGAAAGCAGAACUGAUCUUCUUUCCCAUACCGGAGAUUGGCCACUUAGCUUCAUUCCUCGAAUUAGCACAACUCCUAAUCAACCAUCAUAACCAUCUUUCCAUCACAUUCCUCUGCAUGAAACUCCCUUACGCUCCCUCUUUAGAUGCAUACAUCAGAUCAGUUAUAGCCUCACAACCUCAAAUUCAAGUCAUUGAUCUCCCUCAAGUAGAACCACCUCCACAGGAACUAUUGAGACCACUAUCACACUACAUCUGGUCCUACUUGCAGACCCUCAAACCCCAUGUCAAAGGUAUAGUGCAAAACAUUUUAUCAUCUCAUUCUAACCCCAUUAUCGGGUUGCUCCUAGAUGUCUUUUGUUCACCCUUGAUUGAUGUGGGAAAUGACUUAGGCAUCCCUUCUUAUUUGUAUAAUUCUUCAAAUGUUGGAUUUUUUAGUCUCAUGCUUUCCCUUCAGAAGCGUCAGAUUGGUUAUGUGUUCAAUGAUUCUGAUCCUGAGUGGUUGAUUCCGGGGCUCCCUGAUCCUGUUCCUUCAAGUGUUUUCCCUGAUGCUCUUUUUAACAAAGAUGGAUAUGCUACUUAUUAUAAACAUGCUCAGAGGUCCAAAGACUCCAAAGGGAUUAUUGUUAAUUCUUUUUCAGAGUUGGAGCAGAAUCUUAUUGAUGCAUUAUGUGAUGAUCAAAGCCAAACACCUCCUAUCUAUGCUGUUGGUCCAUUGAUUGAUCUCAAAGGUAAUAAAUCUAACCCAACUUUAGAUCAAGGUCAACAUGACAGAAUCUUGAAAUGGCUAGAUGAGCAGCCAGAUUCUUCUGUUGUUUUUCUAUGUUUUGGGAGUAAGGGAAGCUUUGAUCCAUCUCAAACUAGAGAAAUAGCACUAGCGAUUCAGCAUAGUGGUGUUAGGUUCUUGUGGAGUAUACAUUCUCCGCCAACCACAGACAUUGAAGAGAGAAUCUUACCAGAAGGGUUCUUAGAGUGGAUGGAGGGUAGGGGAAUGCUAUGUGAGUGGGCACCCCAAGUAGAGAUUCUAGCCCACAAAGCCAUUGGGGGGUUUGUGUCUCAUUGUGGAUGGAACUCUAUUUUGGAAAGCAUUUGGUUUGGGGUAUCAAUAUUGACAUGGCCUAUCUAUGGAGAACAAAAGAUGAAUACUUUUAGGAUGGUGAGGGAAUUUGGAUUAGCAGUGGAGCUGAAACUGGACUAUAGAAGGGGUAGUGAUCUUGUUAUGGCAGAGGAGAUAGAGAAAGGGCUGAAACAAUUGAUGGACAGAGACAAUGUGGUGCACAAGAAUGUGAAAGAGAUGAAAGACAAGGCAAGGAAAGCUGUCCUUACUGGUGGGUCUUCUUACAUUGCUGUUGGAAAACUAAUUGAUAAUAUGUUGGGAAGCAACUGAUAAGUGAUAGCAUAGUUGUUGUAUUUUAAUAAAUGGAGUUGCCCCUUUCUAUUAGAUGGAUAUUUAAAUGGUUGCAGUUUGUGUAUGACAAAUUUACUUGAGCAAUUAUGAAUGUUCUUCUGUUCUGCGUUUUCUUUGGAUGGUUUAUACCAAAUUGUUCUUUCACAUCUGAAUGGGAAAUAGAAUGGAUUAACCUCGAUAAAUACGACAAUUGUGACUAUUAAAGUUUACAAACUCAAACCUUUUAAAUUUAAGUCUAGUGAUUUGGAUUUCAAGUAAGAGUAAAACCUUUUACCUAUGUAUAUGCGUGGGCCUUCUCUUUUUAGCAGAAAUGGGUGGAAUGUAUAAGAGUGUUGCUAGGUGCACCCAGCAUUUCAAAAAAAUGAUAAAAUUGUUCUUUCUUGAUUUUUCUCUUACGGAUCAAGUUGAUCCAGAAGUCUCUUCCGGAUUAAGACUUCCGGAUCAACUUGAUCCGUAAGAAGAAAAAUAAAAAUUUUGUUAAUUAUACAAGAUAUUUAAAGAUAUUUAUUUUAUAAUAUAAUUUAUACAUUUAAAGAUAUUUAUUUCAUUAAUUAUAAUAUAAUUAAAUAUAUUUAUUUAUUUUAUUAAUUAUAAUAUAUUUAUAAAUAUUGAUUUAUUAUAAAUAAUUAAUGCUAAUCAAUCAUAAUUUACUAAAAGAGGAUAUAUCUAUAUGAUUAUAUCAAUAUAUAAUCAUAAUUCAUGCUAAUCAAUCAAUCAUGCUAAUCAAUCAUAAUUCCCUAAAAGAUGAUAUAUCCGAGAAAACUGAAUCUAAUUCAAUCAUAAUUAGCAUGAAUUGUGAUUAUAUAUAGAUAUAUCCUCUUUUAGGGAAUUAUGAUUGAUUAACAUGAUUGAUUGAUUAGCAUGAAUUAUGAUUAUGAUUGAUUGAUUAGCAAAAUAAAUAUCUUUAAAUAUAUUGUAUAAUUAACAAAAUUUUAUUUUUCCUCUUAUGGAUCAAGUUGAUCUGGAAGUUACGGAUCAACUUGAUCCGGAAGAGACUUCCGGAUCAACUUACAAAUCAACUUGAUCCGUAAGAAGAAAACCAAACAAGGGCAAUUUUGCCAUUUUUUUAGAAUGCUGGGUGCACCAGCAAUAGUGCUGGGUGCACCUAGCAACACUCAAUGUAUAAUGUCAAGCAAGAGGUACCAGCUCAAGCAAAAUAGUUAUUAGAAAAAAAUAAUAAUAAAGAAUGCAGGAGUGAAACCAACCAAAAAAGACGACAAUCUCAUGCUCCUAGUCCUACACUCUUGUCAAAGAUGGACUCAACCAGAGAAAGAGAAACUACAAAAGUUAUCACUAAUGAACUUGGGUGAUGUGUUUCAUUUAAAGUCAAGUGUGCAUACAUAUCUAGUGAAUUGUGGUGUUUUUCACCCCUGAAAAAUCUCCCAAAUGGGAGAAUUAAACCAAACUCUCAAAGUAGGCACUAGGCUGAUGGACUCGACUUUUCUUAGCUAAAAUCCUCAAUUUAUGUCGCAGGAGUUCCUGAAUCGUUUUAAAAGGCAUUGACGAAUGUUGCAUUUUUUUUUUAUCUAUAAACAACUCCUAGUCAACAUUAAUAAAAUGGGAAGAAAAUAAAUGAAAUAUAAAAAACCCACAACCAAGCGUUCUACAAUAUAAUACUUGGAAUCAAGUUUUGCAUCUUGGACCAGCACCGUAAAAAUUGGAAGCUUAGAUAUGCCAAAGCAUUUCGCUUUUUGCUACCUGUAGAGAAGAUAGCAUCAAAUAUCAAAUAUAGAGAAUUCAUGGUACAUUAGCAUUGGUAGUAGGAGACCGUUGAACCAAACAAAAUAUUUUAUCAUACACGUCAAAAGGAAGAUUAUCACUGCUCUCAUAGCAGUGUAAAUCAUGAUAAACAAAAUGACCUUGGAAAUAUUAGAAGCUUUGAAUCACACAGUUCAGGUUAUCAAAUGGUGUUCAACUUAGUCUAAUACUCGUUUCUCUCCACGACAAAGGAAUGACAUGCCAUAUCCAGACCUUGAUACUGCCCUUUCUUGACCCUUUCUAUUCUCUCCUGUCAAAAGCAUAUCUUUCUUUUGACUCUGUUUGAUUGCUAUAGUUUCUAUACGAUCUUUUAUCUUGCUUCCUAUCAUAAUCUUCUCUUGGCUUUGGUGCAGAUUCACCUUCACUGUGCUUUCGUGAUUUCCUGUCUUCACUGUAUCCAUGAGGUUCUCUUGACUUGCUUACAAUAUCAUCAUUAUCCCUCCUCCGGGAUCUUUUAUCUUCCCUUAUAUCAGAAUCUCUCGACUUUGGUUCAACUUCAACAUCAUCUGGCUUUAUUGACCUUUUCUCUUCCCUUAGGUGAUGAUCUUUUGGCUCAAGCUUCAUACCAUCAUAAUCAUCCCUUCUUGAUCCUUUUUCUUCUCUCUUGUAUCGAUAUUCUCUAAACUUAUGUUCAAAUUCAUCAUCUUCAUGCCUUCUUGAUCUCUUUUCUUCUCUUCUACUGUUAUUUUCUCUCCCAUCAAAUUUGUCAUCAUCUUCAUGCCUUCUUGAUCUAUUCAGUUCUCUUUUACUGUUAUUUUCUCUCCCCUCAAAUUUGUCAUCAUCUUCAUGCCUUCUUGAUCUCUUUUCUUCUCUUCUACUGUUAUUUUCUCUUCCCUCAAAUUUAUCAUCAUCAUCAUCAUGCCACCGCUUUGUCAUCUCUUUUCUAUCACUUCUCUUAGGUUGGUUGUCUAAUUCAGCAUCAUUGUUGCGGGCCCUAGAAAAUGAAUCUCUGUCUCUAGUUUCUGCAAUAUGAUUUGAUUGAUUGUUGCCAGAUCUUCUUUCUUUUUUGGGACCAUCAAAUUUGUCAUGACCCCAUUUUGGUUUGUCUUCCUCACGACCCCAACCUGUAUUUGCAGCUCUCUGGAUAAAGGAAACAAAGACAGUCAAAAAUAUGAAAAGGUAGCUACAUAAAUCUUCAGAAUCCGACCAAAUUUUAUUCCAAAAUUCAGCACAUUAUAUAACAUAUACACAACUUCAAAAGUUCAACUAUAAGCAAAGCAAAAAUGACGAGAAAUCAUCAAAGCAGAGAACAUGCACAAUAGAGCAGCAAACAAUUAUGGGUAAAUUACAAUGUCCUUUCCAUCAGAUAUAUUUAAAUUACAAUGUCCUCCCUCUAAUUUUGAUAAUUACAUUUGUCUCCCUGAGAGAUGCAUAUAUAUUACAUUUUAGUCCAUUUUAAUAUAAAUUAACCUCUUAAUGGGGAUGAACAACUAUAAAUGAACCUCAAGCUCAAGUACUCCACGACUUCCAAUGUCACCGGCAACUAAUUUUAAAUACAAUAUUAUUAAUCUCAGGAUCUUAAAAAAUGAAAUGCUAGAUUUUUCAUAUAAAUACCAGCAGUUUAGAAUUUUCUUAAUUUUUACCACUGAACAUUGAACAAAAGUAAUAUAAAACUUGUUAAUCAAGAGGGAAAUUUUCUUAAAUAAAGAAUACAUUUUUUAUCAUUUAACAACAACAACAACAACAACAACAACGCCUUAUCCCACUAGGUGGGGUCGGCUACAUGGAUCAACUUCCGCCAUAAUGUUCUAUCAAGUACCAUACUUCUAUCCAAACCAUUAAUU
This 52622-nucleotide long non-coding RNA is filed under the name Glycine max (soybean). Its description in RNAcentral is "long non-coding RNA (GMAX_LNC003270)". The record is from RNAcentral. Lineage: Eukaryota; Viridiplantae; Streptophyta; Magnoliopsida; Fabales; Fabaceae.